CCGCCAGUAGUCAUUGUGUAGUUAAACGCACUAUUCAUGUAACCGCCCAUGCAGCCAUCAUCGUUUGUGUCGCAGUCGACAAGCUCUUGUUCAGACAAAGAAAUGAGUUUCCCUUUCUUUAUCUGUGCUACUCCUUCUAUAGCCGCAACAGCUGAAAACGCCCAACAAGAUCCUACGCAAAACAUUCACUCGUUAGUUCACAAUCCAAGCAACUAACUAUUUGGUGAUCCGAUCUGAUCAGGUCAUAUAUUUCCCUUUUGUGUUGGGUUUGAGCAUCCAUAAACGGAAUCUUACAGUUCCUUUUAAAAUUCUCGGUUCAAAUCAGUUUCGGUUUUAGAGAAUCUACUAAAAUGUUCAAAAUAUUUUUCUAUCAAAAUUUAAUAUAUUAAAUAUAUUUUCGUUUUGUAUACAGUAUAACUAUACAGGGACUUGUAAUUAAUUUUGAUUUAUUUGGAUCGGUUUAGUUACACUAGACUUCUUUGUUCGGGUUAUAUUCUGUAUAUAUUAAGAGAUUAAAUCGUUCGGGAUAAGGAACCCUGAUUGUUCGAUUAUCCCGGUUCAAAAUUUAGCUUGGUUUAGUUUAUACAUAUGCAAACGAAUAAAGCUUCGGAAUUAUAUUACCGCAUGAGCCUUGAUCCUUGAUAGGAGUCACAGCUCCUUUCUUCCUCCAAUCAACAGAAAUCGGCAAAGCAUCAGAAGAAACGUGUUGGUACCUAAACGACGUAGGUUUCGUUCGACUAGACAACACCGAGUUUCCUUUGUAACCAGUGUACAUAGAACGGAAUUCUUCGUUGGUUAGAUCAGCAAACUGGUUCACCGCGAGUUUAAACGUUAGUCCGUAUUGAACUUCAUUUAAGCGUUCAAUGCUUUCCACGUUGCGUUUGAACACAACGUAGCGGUUGUUUUUCUCGUUCGCAUCUGCGUAAACACGGCCGUGUUCGGUCAUCCACGCGGCAUGUCUCUUUUGCAUGGUGACUUCAUCGAGUGGACGAGAAAGAGUGGUCGAUAAACUGAAUGAUGAAACUAGAGAGACAAUGAGAAAGAUUUGGAUCUGUGUUAAAGCCAUUUGGUUUAGAGAAGUUGAAGGAUAUUGAUACUAAUUUGUUACUCCAAAAGGUUUUGGAAUUGGGGUUUUAUAGUGAAAAGGUUUAUGUUAUUGGUAAUGUACCCAUGAAGUGAUUAGGACAAAGUAUUUUAAGUUUACACGUAAUGACAUCUUUUACAUCCAUAUAUACAUAACCAGAUCGAUCAUGCAUGGCUUGUUAAGUUUAUUUAUGGUUGUUAAGUAUUUUUUCUACAUCAAAGAUCAAACUGAGAUAAACUCAUCCUCUUCACUUUCAGUUUGGCUGCAUUUUUCGUUACAGCUGCGGUUUAAGUUUGUAAACAAAUACAUUUAAUAACUAGAAAGUUGAACUUAUUAGACUUUAAUCUCUCUAGGCUUAUGAUAUUCGAACUUUGAAAUCGAAACUGGUUUUCGUUUUGGACAAAUAUAUUUAUUUACUUGAAACGGAAAGUUGAAAAUUAAGAAUGACAUGUGGAACAAAAAAACUGCAAAUAUAAUCUGAAAACAUAUUUGUUUGAAACUAACAAUUUUCAGCUACUCAAUGUAUGUAUGAAAAAACGUAAUUCAUUUGGUUUUCACAUGUUAAAUAUACUUCUAAUGCAUCAAAAUUAGUAAUCUCAUCAAAACAUGGAAUCUCCUUUUGUCUUUUAAUUAAUUAACUAGACUCUGACCUGUGCGCCAGUGCGGGUAUGAAUUUCCGGAUUUUGAUUAUUUAUUCAACUAAGUGAUGUAUUUGUAAUAUUUAAUGUAUUAUAUCCACUAAUUAAAUAAUUUUUUUGGCGUCUUAAACCAUUUAUUUAUGACGAAUAUUCGAUAUCAUAUAAACAAAUUGAACAUAUACACGUAAUUAGAGAAUUGUAUACGAUAUAUAAAAAUAAUGGUUAUGAAUGUAAAAUAUGAAGAAAUAUUAUAUUAUGACUUAGUAUGGCAUAAAAGAUUAUAAAUUAGUUAUACAUAUUUAAAGAAAAUACAAUGAUUUUUAAACUUAUAUGAAAAAUUAAACAUAUAAAAACGGCCGAUGAAUUGGUCAUAAAAUUGUAAAUAAUUGUAGAUAUUUUAUUAAUAAUAAAUUAUUUAUAGUCUUUGUUUUGAGUCAAGAUAAUUAUUAAAUGUCCAUAACACUAAUAUGUUAAAAGGUCUUAUAAGGAAAGCCCAUGUUGUAACCGUUUUUUUUUCGGGAAGUGUAACAAAAUUUUUUUUUCUUUAACUCUUUGUUUUGUGUAAAAUUUUUUUUGUCUUUGUUUUGUUUAAGGUCUAGAAAUUAAUGUCCAUAACAUUAAUACGUUAAAAAAAAAUUACUUGGUUGGUUUUGGUUAAAUGACAUUAAGUUUCGAAGUUGUACUUAAUUAACCAUUACAUAUUCACGUCUGGAAGUUGAUUUAAUGACAUUAGGUUUAAAUUUGAUUAAGAAAAAUUCAUUAAUUUAACUGGAAAAAAAGACAAGCAUUAAAAUAGGUAGUUUAAUUUAAUUCUCAGUGGCAUGGAAGUGUAAUUAAGUUAGAAAACUUAUGAGUAUUUUUUAAUGGGUACUUCUCUUUUAAUAAUAUAGAUUAAUUUAAUUUAAAUUCAAGAAUUAGAUUUCCUUUAUUCAUAAGAGAACCAUCCGUGCAAGUUAAAAGCUUAAAACAAAGGGAAAAAAGAUUCGACAAAUUAAUUUCGAAUCUAGUCACUCACAACAAAAGUGAACUUCAUUGCACUAAGUAUCUGUAGAUAAAUCUAAACCAUUUGCCAAAAAGUUUCCUGUUCAAUGAUGUUCCCAUGCACCAAUUUCAUCUAUUCGAAUUUCUUUGAACUUUUCCAUUUUGUCUAUAAAAUACAAUAUAAUUGGUAAUAAGUUUUAGUUAGGGACAAUAGAAGUAAAAUUAUAAAUCGGGCGCUAACAAGGAUGUUUACGGAAUAUCAUUUUUGGACAUAAAUCCAUAUUAUAAUUGGCCAAAGUGAGAACGAUGUCUAAACGACUAAAUAAAAAAAGAUACAUAUGUGGAACUAUCAUUAAUAAUAAAAAGAUACAUAUGUCCAUAAAUUAAAAAAAAAUGUUUUACUGAGUAAUAUAAUUAUUAUCAGACAAAAUUUAGCUAUCAUCAAAAAAAUUUCGUAAUUUUUACAUACAAGAAAUGAUUUAAAUUGUUGUUUCCAAAAUAGAAAUCAACUAAACUUAACUGUUUUGAUGUCAUGAAAUGUAUCAAACUUUUUCCUAACUUUCAACAGGAAAAUUUGAACUACAUGCCAGCAUAAAAAUUUUCUGUAAAUCAACUUAAUUUACUUGCUAAGGAGGAUUAGAAGUCAAAUUGUAACGGCAAUAAGAAUAGUGAUAAGUGAACAUCCCAAAAUUAAAGCUUUGGGCUGAACACCUUCCACUGAAUCAUUUUGGAGAUAUGUUAAGAGCACCUUCGAUAGGGUUGUACACAUACAUAUAUGUGUACGUAUAUUUUUAUACUAGUAUUUAAUUGUGGAGUUCUUAAUUUUAUGGGAAAUCCAAUCCAAAAUUUUCUAAAACAUUUGGGUUGGGUUUCUUAUAAAAUUAAAGGUCCAGAAUUAAAUAUUAAUAUUAAUAUAUAUACAAAUAUAUGUUAUAUGUUUUAGAAUUUCAAUGGGUAGAACCCCAUUGUAAAUGCUUAUCCAAUAGCAAGAUAUGUAUUUUAAAGCCCAUGAAAUUUAUGAAGCCUAAACCAAAUAAUACUAUAUAAAUUCUAUUAUGAUAAAGAUUAGAUGAUUUAGAUAUACUAGGUAAUUAUCCGCGCUACGCUGCGGAUCCGUGGUGUUUUUUGUUAUCAUAUUUUUAUAAAAUAAAUUUUUUAAAUAAAUAUUUUCAAUGAAAUAUCAAUAUAAUUAGCCAGCAUAGUUCAUCUACUAUCUAUUUUAUUGGACUGACAAAUGAGUUUGGGUACCUUUUCACAUUUUGCUUCUCAACUUUGGAUCCAGCCAUACUUAGACCUUCUUAUAACCAUUUUCCUUUCAUUAUUUAUUUAUAAUGUUGUCUCUCUACUUCUAAGACAAGACGAUUCAUCUUCCCUCAUACUUAGACCUUUUAUUUUAUUUUUGUUUGGUUUUCUAGAGGUUGUCGCCCUAGCCUCCACCUUUCUUCCACCAUUUUCCAAAUUGUUAUUUUAUUCUUUGUGGCAUUGAUUCUUAGCUAUUGUAAAUUCCAUUGCCAAACAUUGCUAACGUUAUUAAUUAUCUUUAUAUUCAAUUGUGUUUGCACAAUCAGGGACAUAGAGAUAUAUUUGUAAGAAAGAUGUAGUACUACUCUAGAUACUGUAAAAACUGAAUUAAAAUAGUCAUUCUUGUCAAACUAUAGUCAUCCAGAUGUGAUUCCUGUAACGAAGAAGACAAGUUAAAGUUCAAACUGUGGAAGAAGAGAUAGCAAGAAGCAUAACAACAAGUAAAAAAAGAAAUCUUGUUAUGAUCCAAUGAAGCAAAUAAAAUAUAGAUGAGAAGAACAUUGGCUAAUUGUUGGAUAGAAGGUAACAGAGGAUCCUUCCCUAUAUUAAAUGAGCAACAAAUGGGAUGAUCCCAUUCACGGCUAGCCACCCGGAUGAGGCUCACGUCCUCCUCCCCUCGCCAUUAGAGUUACAACUGUUUCAGUUUCUUAAAGUUAAAUCUUGCAAGUUGCAACAGUUAUGAAAAGCUGAAGUUUAAUGACAAAAACAAUCAGAUUGGUUAGUAUACUUGAACUUGAACCAAACACUCACGUUUUAUCACGUUUUACCUUGUUGAAUAACUCUUCCAGAGAACUAUCAUCUUCUUCUGAAUCUGGCCAGCAAAAGAUAGAAGAAGAAGGAUGAUGGUCCGGCAAAUAUAGAACAUUAUCCUAAAUUCAUGUAUGCGUGAGAAGUAGAAUCGUCCAAGAAUUAAACCUUGCGUGGUCUAUGAAACCGCAAAGUAUUGAAUAUAGUGUCUCAAUUUUGCCGACGUGUAAACUUAUGUAGAUAUGUAAAUAAAAUGUUUUUACUGGUUUUUAUUGACAUGUCAAUCUCUUAUGCUCUUAAAAAUCUGAUGUGUAUUUUUUGGAGAGAGCCUUGUGCUAUUAUUAUGUUGAUGUUAUAAAAUUUAAAUAAAUUUUAUUUCUAAUUGAGAUAGGUCUACUUCUUGUUACAUAUAAUUCUCAUGUAAGUUAUUAAAACACAACACAAAAAUAUAUUUAUAUUCUCCAAUUUUACAAAUCACUAAUUUGGACUGUCUGGGUCAUGUAGAAAUAGGCAUCUAGAUUUCAUGUGGCGUAGGGAUGUUCCAAAGAAGAAAAGAUAAGCCAGGAGAGACACCUUUUUAGAGUGCGAUCAUACCUAAACAUAUUUGGAAGAGAAUUGUAUCAGGAAGGGUGACAUCCCCCUAAAUAUUUGCUUUGCGCCUGAUACUUAGGUUCAUCUCUAUAGUGAAUGGUUAAAUUCAUUCCACUCUUUUUUUUAUCAUCAACCUAAAUAGAUUCUAUGAAAUCUUUGCAAACCAAACUGGUAACUCUGCAUCUAUAUGAACAACAACAGACAUUUGUUUCCUCGCAUUCUGCGCCAAACUGUCUGUCUUUGUAUUCACUCCACUCUUUAUAACCAACCAAAGUGUCAUGUAGGAUUAACUAAAAAAGACGAUAAAAUUAAAAAAAAAAUGAUAAACAGCUGAAAAAAUAACACUGAUAUUAACGCCGUCUGCAAAACUUCAAAUUCUAAAAGCCUAAAGUCUAAAACAAUAAACCCUAAAUCUUAAACCCUAAAGUGAAAACUCUAAACCAUAAACCCUAAUCCUAAAAUCUAAACCCUAAAGCCUAAACUCAAAACUCUAAACCAUAGACCUUAAAUCCUGAAAUCUAAACUCAAAACUCUAAACCAUAAACCCAAAACUCUAAACCAUAAACCCUAAAUCCUAUAAUCUAAACCCUAAAUCCUAAUCCCUAAACCCUAAACUCUAAAUCCUAAACCCAUCACUUGUUUAGGGUUCAGGUUUACGGUUUAGAGUUUUGGUUUUAAGAUUUAGAGUUUUGGGUUUAGGCUUUAGGAUUUAGAGUUUUGGGUUUAGGAUUUAGGAUUUAGAGUUUAUAUUUUAGGAUUUAGGGUCUAUGAUGUAGAGUUUUGGGUUUAGGUUUUAGGCUUUAGGGUUUAGAUUUCAGGAUUUAGGGGUUAUUGUUUAAAGUUUUGGGUUUAGGGUUUAAGAUUUUUGGUUUAGAUUUUAUAAGUUUUAUGGUUUAGAAUUUAGGGUUUUCUAGAUUUAGGGUUUUCUAGAUUUAGGGUUUAUGGUUUUAGACUUUGGGUUCUUAGAGUUUUGCAAACAACGUUAAUAUCGGUGUUAUUUUUUUUUAGCUAUUUAUCUUUUAUAAUUUUAUUGUCUUUUUCAAUUAAUCAUACAUGACACUUUGGUUUGUUAUAAAGAGUGGAAUGACAUUACAGCCAUAAAAAGAGUAUAAUAUCAACUUACCAAUGCACUUUAGUUGGUUAUAAACAUAAAUGAUACAAAAAGAGUAUAAUAUCAAGUAUGUGUAUGUUGUCAAAAAAAUAAAAAUAAAUCAAGUAUGUGUAUUUAAUUAGUUUUUAAUGGUUUUAGAGCCAAAUUCCUGAAUAUAAAUUUGGUGUUAUUCAUUUGGUUCGAAAAAUCAGGUUUAUUCAAGUUGAAUGAGCCAAAUGUUGUUUAAAAAUUAUCAAAUCAAAUACUAUAUAAUAUAGAUGAAUUUAUUGAAUCAAUAAUUAAUUUUUGUUAGAAUUUGAAUCGUUAUCUUUAAGAAUACGUUUUUCAUUGAAUCGUCAAAUUAAAAUCUCAUGUUGAAAAUUUUCUUUUCUCAUGGUACUGGAUUUAUAUGAGUAAUAUAAACAAAAUAAUUCAACAUCAACUGUUCAGUAAAAGAAUUCAAGGAUCGAUCCUAAAAUGAACGUUAUUUCCAAUAAAUUAAAUUAAACAAUCUUAGAAAUAUUUUGUAUGCUACUCUAUUGUUAACAAAGGAGAAAAAGAGAGAAAAAGGUGGUAAAAAAUAGAAACCUCUGCUAUAAUUAAGCUUUAAUAAACUUAGCAUUCUUAUAUUCAAAACCUAUUGAAACUAAUUUUAAAUUAACAAACAAACGACUUACUUAGUUCUAGUCUAAAAAUAACAAUCGGGUUUCUAAUAUAAAACAAACUCGGUGCUCCACGAGAAUAGUUGUCCUCUUCUCAAACAUAACUCAACUUACCGUUUGAAACUAAACUAUUAUAAAGAGAAAUCAAAAAGAAGAAAAGACCACCAAACAAAACACAAAACAAAGAAAAAAAUAUUUUAACAAAAAUGGCUGCCAAAGCAAUCGUCUUCUCUCUCUUUAUCGUCUCCACCGUGUGUUUGUCCUCUCUCGCCGGUUUUACUGCCGCAGAUGCUGAUGAUUUUGACAUUUUCCAGAUUCAGGGAUCAGUUUACUGUGACACUUGCCGUGUCCAGUUCGUUACCCGUCUCAGCCAAUUCCUCGAAGGUAAAUUAAACAAUUUAUCAUGCAUGAAUGUGUGAAUAUAUUUGAGCCUGUAAUAAAAAAAAUAGCACAUCAAACAUACGUUUCAUAAAAACAUUGCAUAACGAAACAGUUUGGGACGAGUAUGUGUUUGCGCACUCUAUCUUGCAUGUUAUAAUUAAGAAUGCAUGCAACGUCUUACAAUAAUAUAUCGGUUUCUGAAUCCGAAUGACUUGAUGCAGUUUGCAAAUAUUUUUGAGUACGUAGCCCGACCACAGUUUAAAACUAAAUCAAUCUCAUAUUAUGUUCAAACAUUUAAGUAGUAUUUAAUUUGGUUUAACAUUUUUUUCGUGUUUGUGAAGGGGCGAAAGUGAAGUUGGAGUGCAGAAGCAGAACAAACGGAACCCUAACGUUGACCAAAGAAGCCGUUACCGACAAAUCAGGAAGCUACAAGAUUGAAGUAACCGGUGACCACGAAGAAGAAGUUUGCGAGCUCGUGUUGGUCCAAUCACCGGACAGUGGUUGCAGUGAUGUCAGCAAAGAGGCUUAUUUACGUAACGCCGCUAAGAUCAGUUUAACGGCGAACGACGGAAUCGUCUCUCACGAGACACGUAUCGUUAACCCACUCGGUUUCAUGGUUAAGACCCCGUUAGCUGAUUGUCCCGCUGCUUUCAAGGAACUCGGUAUUGUCCCUGACGUCAUUUUCUAAGCGAAUAAACAAAAUAUAUGACGUGAGAGAUUUUUAUUUUGUAUUUGCUUCAUCUUCAAGGGGUUUUCACCAAGUUUAACGAUUAUUUAUUAUUAUGAAUUAAUAUCCUCCUGAUUUGUUGAUGUUAAUUUCUCGAUUUUUGUUUUGUUUAAUUUGAAUGGUACCUUGUUGUUCUAUUGAAAAAAAGAUGUGGCUAUUUUUGGGCAUUCAAUGCUGAAGAAACUAUCUAUUAUUAAAUUAUUAAGGGUCUCAUUGGAGUUGUGGCUGUCAAAGUGUCGAUACUUUGUGGGAUUAAACAGUUUCUAAAGUUCAUUUUUCACCAAUCAAGCUUUUUUGAAAAAUAUUGAUUCUAAAGUUCUCAAAGCCCUUUCUUAUUUUUCUUUUUUUUUACACUAGUUUUUCUACGACCACUUCUACGUGACUUUGAGAAUAUAAAAAAACAUUUUUAUCAUAAAAAUAACUUUUUUUUACCCCAUAAUAACUAAAACACCUUAAUGUAAGUUAUAUUAAUUUUAUUUUAAAGUUAGUUUGAUAAAUUAAUUAUUGUUAUUUUUUCUAGUUAUUUUGAGAUCCAUAUUAAUUUACUUUUGUUUUCAUAUAUGGUUUUUCUUUAUUAUUUAUAUAAUUUUAUAUUUGUAAUGGAAUAUUAAGAAUAAAAUAACAAUUUCUAUAACUUUUAUUAUUAUUUUAUUUUUUAAAAUAAUACUUACAGUUUUAACAGCCAAAAUCUCUACAGUCAAUAGUCUAAAGCGAAAGUCUUUACCAAUCGGACCCUAAAAUGGUACGGAACCAAAACAUCCGCCGCACAAAACUCACAAAGUCAAUCUAUUUAUAAAUGAUAAAUGAUUUUAUAUACGGUUUCACGAUGGAUAGAUCACGAUGGAGGUACGGAACCAAAACCUCCGCCGCACACAAAUCACAAAGUCAAUCUAUUUAUAAAUGAAACGAUUUUAUAUACGGUUUCACGAUGGAUAGAUCUAUCUCUUUCCACAAUAUACAGAAAACAGUUCUACAUGUAUUACACCUACAGUUACCAAUUUGUAGCUAUUGCUGUAUAAUACAUUAUGUCGAGAGAGAAAAAGAAGAGUCUCCAAGUUCUUGUCUGAUCAAAUCACUUUUUGUCUAACUCCUAUCCAGGUUCUAUUGUUCUAUUAUUAUUUUAUAGAUUAUGGUUCCUGAUUGUAGAUACAAAAAAGUCAAAAGAAAAAAGAAACUGAAAAAUUUAUAGAGUCUCAAAGAGAUAUUUUUCAUAAGUUUUUAAUUAAAAAACCAAAAGAUGUUACUUCCACUCAAAACAAUGAAUAUGAAAAUAUAAAAGAUAUGAAUAAAAAUGAUGAUAGUGUUGAUGUUUGUAUUCCUAGAGAUGAUAUGAUUGUGAUGAUGUUUGUGAGAAUGAUCUUAAAAAUGCUGAUUGUUUGAAUUAAGAUGAUGAUGAUUUAGAAAAAGUAAAUGAUUAUAAGUUUGACAUUUUUGAUCCAAGAAAUUGGAAUGUUCUUGAUUCUAAGAUGAUUGAUAUUUUAGUAGAAAACAGUCCUUAAAGAGAUAUGUCUAAAAAGAUAAAUUCAAUAGAUGCUUUUCUGAAUUUUAUUGAAUGGAGAAAAAUGCAAAAGAGAUUGGUUAGUCUACUGUAAGGAAAUUGAUAAAUUAUUUUGUUUUUGCUGUAAGAUAUUUAAAAAAUCUGUUGGAAAAUGUUAGUUCAUGAAGGUUUUAAAGAUUGGGCACAUCUUAGUUCUAGGCUUAAAGAGCAUGAAACAAGUGUUGCACAUGUUAAGAAUAUGACAAUUUGGUAUGAUAUGCAGUUAAGAUUUUUCUCAAACUAUUGAUAAAGUGGCUCAAACACUAAUUUUAAAAGAAAAAGAUCAUUGGAAAUUUUUUUUGUUUAGGAUUAUUUCUGUUGUAAAAUUUCUUGCAAAGCAUAAUCUUGCAUUUCGUGGUACUAAUGCUAAACUGUAUGAAAAUAACAAUGGAAUUUUUUUAGGACUUAUUGAAUGUUAGUUGAAUAUGAUCCAGUUAUCAAAGAGCAUGUGGAAAUAAUUAUAAAUGAUGAUAUUCAUUUUCAUUAUCUUGGUCAUAAUAUUCAAAAUGAAUUGAUAAUUUUGAUUGCUUCUGCAAUUAAAUCUGAAAUUUUAAGUAAAAUAAAACAAGCAAAAUAUUUUUCUUGAUACUUGAUUGUACUCCUGAUAGUGGCCACCAAGAACAAAUGUCAAUGAUAUUGAGGUAUGUAGAUUAUUCUUCUCAUCCUAUUAAAAUUCAAGAAUCUUUUCUAGGAUUUUUACAUGUGAAAGAUACAAGUGGUCAAAGUCUUUUUGAAGUCUUACAAAAUGAAUUAUCGUCUUUGGGAUUUAACAUACAUAAUGUAGAAGGGCAAAUUUAUGAUAAUGGUGCAAACAUGAAAGGAAAACAUCAAGGAGUACAAAACCAAUUUUUAGAUGUAAAUCCAAGAGUGUUUUAUACUCGUUGUAGUUCUCAUAGUCUUAAUUUAAUGUUAUGUGAUAUGGAUAAUACUUGUGGAAAAGCUAAAGAUUUUUUUGGAGUGAUACAAAAAAUAUACACAAUGUUUGCUAAAUCUACUAAGAGGUGGGAUAUUUUAAAAGAUAAUAUAAAAGCGUAAUGAUUCUAUGAUUAGAAGUGAAGCUAAAUCCUUAGCGACAAAUGAACUUGGUGAACUUGAGUUCUUGGUGAGCAUUGUUAUUUGGUAUGAAAUGUUAUAUGCUGUUAAGUUGGUUAGUAAAAGUUUACGGUCUAAAAAUAUGCUUAUUGAUGUUGCUAUUGAAAAAUUUAAGGGAUUAGUAGAGUUUUUCAAAAAGUAUAGAGAUACUGGUUUUUCAAAUGCUUUGGAAAGUGCUAGAAAAAUUGCUAUAGUUAAUAGGUGUUGGUCCAAUAUUUCCUCAAAAACGUGUUAUUCAAAGAAAAAAAAUUGAUUAGAUCCCAAAUAGUUUACCUUCAGUUGUUCCACAAUCUCAUUAUUUAGGAUUGAAUAUUUUUUAUGCAUAGUUGAUCAAGCAAUUACUUCACUUAGUAAGAGGUUUGAACAAUAGAGUAUGAAAAGACUUUUGGUUUUUAUUUAACCCUGAAAAAUGGGUUUUAGAUGAUAUGACUUUAAAUAAUUAUUGUAGUAGGUUUGCAAAUGUUUUUUAAAAAGGUGAGAAUUUUGACGUAAGUGGAGAUGAAUUGUUUAUAGAAUUAAAGUACUUAGAGAAGUUAUGACAAAAGAGAUAAUUUAUCCUAUUGAUAUUUUGAAUUAUUGAUAAUUUAUCCUAUUGCUAAUUCUUUUUCAAGUGCUAUUAUUGUUUAUAGAAUUUUACUAACUAUUCAUAUAACUGUUUCAUCUGCAAAGAGAAGUUUUUUAAAAUUAAAAUUGUUGAAGUCAUAUCUGCGGACAACAAUGAUACAAAAAAGAUUAAAUAAGCUAGUGAUGAUUUCAAUUGAAAAUGAUAUUUUGAAAAAGAUCAAGUUUUAUGAUUUGGUCGAUGAUUUUGCAAGAAAAAAGCUAGAAGAAUAUCGUUAUUUAGAUGAAAAAAAUUAGAUUGGUAUAUUUAUUUUAUAUUAUAACAAUAUUUUGUCAGAAAAACAUAUAAAUUAUUUUAGGCUGUAAGAAAGAACCUUGAUUUUUUUAACAUAUAAAUUAUUUUGCCUAUAUGAUAAUUACCUUUUUAUUUGAUGGCAUCGUUUUCUGGUUCUUGAUUUGCCAUUUCUUAUAACACGGGAAAGCUCCCAAGAAGUAUUUUUAAUCCUUAAUUUAUCGUGGACAACAUCAUAUUAUAUUAGUAUCAUUACUAGAACUAGGCCUGGGCAUUUUAACCUGUACCCGAAAAUUCGAACCGGAACCGAUCCAAAAAUACCCGAUCUGGAACUGAACCAAAAAUUUAAAAGUACUUUUUGGUACUAAAUUUCUUUUACCCGAAAGGAACCGAUUCGAAUAGAUUCGGAUCCGAGAAGAACCGACUCAAAUAGACCCGACUCGAUAAGAACCGAUUUGUACCCUAUUUAAAAACAUGUAUAUCCAAAACUAUGAUUUUUUGUGGUCUAUUUUAUAUAUAUUAUUUUAUAAUUUAGUUGAAAUAUCUUUUGUUAACAACAUAUGUUAUCAUUUUGUAACAUUUUUAAGUAAUAUGAAGCUUUAAAAUGUAAAAUUUAGAGUUUAAAAAUGUUAUAUUUUAAUUAUUAAUAGUUUCAUUUAAGUUAUUUUGUAAAAUUUUAGAUAUAUAUGAUAAAUAUCGACUAAAUUUGAUGGAAUUGGGUAUGUCAUGUCCUUUUAGAUCUUAAAUACCCAAACCUGGCGCGGAUCCGAUAUGGACCCGAAAAAUUACGGGUAUUUUAUGGGUAUCUUAAUUAUAGAUCCGAACUGACCCGGACCCGAAAAGAACCGACCCGAACUCAGACCAAAAAUUUCUAAGUACCUAUUGGAUUUAAAUGUUUUAGGACCCGAAAGAAACUGGCCCGAACCCGACCCGAAGAUCCGUAAAACUAUCUAUAACAAUUAUAUCAGUAAGUAUCAUUAGUAGACCUAUCUAUAACGAUUUAUCUAUUUUUACAAAAAUUUCAAUUAUUUGGAACUCAAAUUUUGAUCGGCUAGUAUUAUAUAAAACGUUUUUGGAAUCAUUAGAUCAAGGAAGUUCUUAUGAUAUGUUUUAAAAAAGCUAACAUAAAACUAUGGCGAAAUUAAAAUUAAAGAAUAGCAAUCCACCAUGUAAAAUUCGAAAGCUUUAAAUAAGCAUGUUGCACAUAAAAUUAAUUUAAAAAAUUAAGUAUAAUCUCAUGUGAAACAUAUAUGGACCUAUGGCUGGACAAAUAAACUGAAUCAAAAAAUCUAAACUGAAUUCGAAUUGAUAGAAAUGAAUCUGAACUUAUCCAAACCUGAUAUAAAUACCUAAUGGAUCUUGUUCUAUGGUAUUUUAGGUUAUGAAUUUUAUCUGAACUGAAUCCAAAAGAUAUUUGAAAAAUUCCAAAUCCUAAUUAAAAACACUUGUAGCAAGUCUAAUCUAAUUUCAUAAUAUGUAUCGGAAAUAGAUAUUAUUGAAUACCUAAAAUAAUUAUCUAUUACAUGAAUAAUUAGAUUAAAUAUUUAGUUUAAGAUAUAUUUUGGCAUUUAGUCAAUAUUGAUGUCUUUAUGUUUUGAAUAGGUUUUUUUCUAAAGUUUAAACAAUGUUGUUUUAUUUUAAAGUUUAAAUAAUAUUAUGCAUGAUUCUCUUUCAAACAAAGCUUUGGUUUGUCAUGAUAUGUCUGAUAUUGUCACGUAUAGUUCAAAGAUAAAUAUUGUAUGGUUGGGAGAAGAAUCCUCCAAAGUUAUUUUGAAAAACAACACAACAAUAUAGUUUGAAGAAGCCACAUACAUACCCAAAUUUAUUGAAAAAAAAUGGAAAUAUAUAUAGUUUAAUCAAGUUUAAAUUAAUAAAUUUGGAAUUGAUAACCCUAUUAAUAUUCGUAACCAAAACUUUUUCAGAUUCAACUGGAUCUUAGACAUGUAACUAAAUCCGAACUGUAUCCGAUUAAAACCGAAUCAAAUCCAAUCUGAACUUUUAUAAUAUUCAAAUAGAACUGAAUUUCAUAAAUCUAAAACUUGAAACCGUAAUCUGGUUAAGAUUCUGAUUGCCCAGCCCUAUAUUGACCCAACUUCCCACGUGAUGGUUGUAUUUUUGGGAAUAUAGUGGAUGGUUGUAUUUUACAUUUUUGGGAAUAUAGUGGAUGGUUGUAUUUUUUUAUUUAUUACGAAGACUAAAGUAUAUACAAAAUAUAUAGAUAUUGUCCCACCAUGAUCUUCUCGUACAUAUCUUGUCCAUCUAUAAAGCUUUAAGGGUUCUUUUCAUCGGGUGAUAAUAUUCAGAUGGCCGGACUCUGACAUGUCAGCAUCGGACAACCUUUUUAGACAAAGGUGUACAUACACCUCCAUAUUUCAGCAGAUAUAAUUUACGCGGUCCGAAUAUAUUUGUCAUUAAUGAAUUAUUAUUAUGUCCUACUAAUGUCCUUGUAUCUUCUAUCAUUUUCUAAAAUAUUUAGGUACUAAGAUAAGACUUGCGCCUAGCGCAGGGUAAGUUUAUUUGUAUAUAUUAUCGAUAGUUUUUUUUAUAUAUUUGAUAACUUUAUUUAUAUAUAUAAAAUAUUUUUUGUUAUUAUUAUAUAAUUUUUUUCCGAUGGAUCAGAUCAAUUUUUAUUAAAAAUAAUGGAACAAAACUAUAAUUAAUACAUCAUGGAUUGAUCGGAUUGGACAUUAAACAAAUUAUGACAUAAAAACCUUAUUUUUUCCAUCGAACACAUUCUUGAAAAAAGUGAACAGUAUUGUUUUCACAGUUGAAUUAUUUUGACUUUUAUCUUCCAUAUGGUUUUGAAAGCUUUCAAAUCAACCAUCGAAUUGAUACAUGUCAUUUUAAUGUUUUUAGUCGUAUACUUAAGGAAAACUUAUAUUUUUGUAAUUUAAAGUCGUUUUAAAAAAUUCAAAAUAUAACAUAUAAGAAAAAAUAUAACAUAUAAGAAAAAUAUAACAUAUAAGGUGUCUUCAUUUUUGUAUUUUAAAGUCAUUUUUUAAAAAAAAAAUAACAUAUAAUGUUUCCUCAUUUUUGUAAUUUAAAGUCAUUUUAAAAAAUUCAAAAUAUAAUAUAUAAGAAAAAAUCAAUUUUUUUAUUAUAUGGUUAGUGUGAUUGUUUUAUUUUUUAAUAAUAUAAAAUUAAACAAAAUGAAGAAGGAUGCAAAAAUUGUUAUCAAAUCUUUAUUAUUCAUAAUCAUUAAUUGUCAUAUAUAUGUAAAUCAUAUUAGGUAAUUUUGUAGCUUUUAUCUAGGGAAAGAAUACACACUUCNNNNNNNNNNNNNNNNNNNNNNNNNNNNNNNNNNNNNNNNNNNNNNNNAUAUUAGGUAAUUUUGUAGCUUUUAUUUAGGGAAAGAAUACACACUUCUUAUAUUUUAAGUUAAUAUAAUGUUCUCUAGUGAACAUUAAACAAAUUAUGACAUAAAAACCUUAUUUUUUCCCUCGAACACAUUCUUGAAAAAGUGAACAGUAUUGUUUUCACAGUUGAAUUAUUUUGACUUUUAUCUUACAUAUGGUUUUGAAAGCUUUCAAAUCAACCAUCGAAAUGAUACAUGUCAUUUUAAUGUUUUUAGUCGUACACUUAAGGAAAACUUACAUUUUUAUAAUUUAAAGUCGUUUUAAAAAAUUCAAAAUAUAACAUACAAGAAAAAAUCUAACAUAUAAGAAAAAUAUAACAUAUAAGGUGUCCUCAUUUUUGUAUUUUAAAGUCGUUUUAAAAAAAAUAUAACAUAUAAGGUUUCUUCAUUUCUGUAAUUUAAAGUCAUUUUAAAAAAUUCAAAAUAUAACAUAUAAGAAAAAAUCUAAUUUUUUAUUAUAUGGUUAAUGUGAUUGUUUAUUGUUUUUAAUAAUAUAAAAUUAAACAAAAAUGAAGAAGGAUGCAAAAAUUGUUAUCAAAUCUUUAUUAUUCAUAAUCAUUAAUUGUCAUAUAUAUAUGUAAAUCAUAUUAGGUAAUUCUGUAGCUUUUAUUUAAGGAAAGAAUACACACUUCUAUAUUUUAGGUUAAUAUAAUGUUCUGUAGUGGUAGUGGACAUUAAACAAAUUAUGAUAUAAAAACCUUAUUUUUUUCAUCGAACACAUUUUUGAAAAAUGUGAACAGUAUUGUUUCCACAGUUAAAUUAUUUUGACUUUUAUCUUCCAUAUGGUUUUGAAAGAUUUCAAAUCAACCAUUGAAUUGAUACAUGUCAUUUUAAUGUUUUUAGUCGUAUACUUAAGAAAAACUUACAUUUUUGUAAUUUAAAGUUGUUUUAAAAAAAAAUUCAAAAUAUAACAUAUAAGAAAAUUCUAACAUAUAAGAAAAAUAUAACAUAUAAGGUGUCCUCAUUUUUGUAUUUUAAAGUCGUUUUAAAAAUAAAUAUAUAACAUAUAAGGUUUUCUCAUUUUUGUAAUUUAAAGUCAUUUUAAAAAAUUCAAAAUAUAACAUAUAAGGUGUCCUCAUUUUUGUAUUUUAAAGUCGUUUUAAAAAUAAAUAUAUAACAUAUAAGGUUUUCUCAUUUUUGUAAUUUAAAGUCAUUUUAAAAAAUUCAAAAUAUAACAUGUAAGAAAAAAUCUAAUUUUUUUAUUAUAUGGUUAAUGUGAUUGUUUAAUUUUUUUAAUAAUAUAAAUUUAAACAAAAAUGAAGAAGGAUGCAAAAACUGUUAUCAAAUCUUUAUUAUUCAUAAUUAUUAAUUGCUAUAUAUAUGUAAAUCAUAUUAGGUAAUUCUGUAGCUUUUAUUUAAGGAAAGAAUACACACUUCUAUAUUUUAGGUUAAUAUAAUGUUCUCUAGUGUUAUAUAAUUAUGGAAUAAUGUGACACCAUUAGAUUAAACUAUACUUUAUAUUAGAUGCUCUAUAAUUCUUUGAAAUGGAAUUUAGAAGGCUUUUAGAGUGCCACCUAGAAUUUGAGGUUUUUUUUAAUUAAUACAAAAUUAAGGUUCUAAUUUUUCAAAUGCUUCUCAAUUAAUAUAUAGGGGAUUCAUGUCUUAGGGGGAUGUAUUCAAUUUAACAUUUGAUGUGAUUUGAUUUUUAAUGGGAUUUUAGAUGAUUUCAAUAAGUUGCAGAGAUUUAAGUGACUUUUGUUAAACUACUCUAGAAUAUCACCUAAAACUAUGGGAUUUGAGUUUUAAUUUUUUUAACUAAGAAAUCAUACCCAAACACCCUAAAAUCACCUGAAAACUUUAAAACUCCACAGCUUAAAAUAUUUUCAAUAACAGUGGAUUUCAGAGUACUUUAAGAAAUGUCAAAUUCAAUAACAGUGGAUUUUAAAUGAGUUUUUAAAAUUCAUGUUUCAAUAACAGUGGAUUUGUCAUUUUAAUACAAAUCACCUGAAACUCUCGGUUGAAUACAUCCCCCUUAGACUUUUCUGUCUCCUUUUAAAUUCAAUGGACAUGUUCAUAUGCAAAUCAAGAUACAAACCCUUUUUUUUUUCAAAAUUACAAACUUAUACGAGACCAAUCUAUUUUUAUAAUAACUAAAUUGAGAAAUUGAUGUAAAACACUGGAAAUUUUGGUUACAAAAAGAAAACACUGGAAAAUAAAUUGUUAAAAUGAACAAACUUCAAAUUCUUUCCUUUAUUUAAAUUUAAUUUGUUAUUUUUAUAAAAUUUUAUUUAGCUGUAAAAAUAAACCACUUAUUUUGUUGUUUUUCUUGUAGUCCUGACAUUACUAUGAUAUAUUUAGAGUGCAUCCACAAUGGAAAUUUUUACAAAAGUUUAUCAUGUUAAUUAAAAUAUUAAAAUAAGUAAAAAAGAAAAAUGUAAAGUUGAGAGAUAAGUGAGAAGUCUCUCAAAAAUCUUAAAAGACUCUAUUGUAAUAUGUCACAUUAUCAUAGGUUAAAUUGACUUUAUAAGAAAUAGAUACUUAUAAUAAUAUACAUGUUUAAUUUCUGAGAAAUUUAAAUGAAUAUCUACCACUAAUAUUUUUCAAUGUAUUUUGUUAUUUUCCCUAAAAUAUAGAAACUUUGUAAUAAAAGUGCAAUCUACUCCAACAUAUUUUAGCAUUUUUAUCAUAAACUAAAAAUAAAUAAAUGCAAUUUACUCCUUUGUUUAUUAAAAAAAUUCAACAUCUAGCUUUCUAUAAGAAAAAAAUGAGACGAAUCAAAGUAUACUUGCAUCUAAAUAAUAUUAUAGAGUCAAAUAUACAGUUGAGAUAGAAAUGCUCAAAAGGUACUCUUAAAUCUUUAGAAAUUUUUAAUAUAUAUAUAUUUCCCCUUUUUUAAAAUUUAUUUAAUGUUUUUUGACAAAAUUAUUUAUUUCAUGUUGCCAAUAUACACCUGUAAGGCUGUAAGUUAAUCAUUAUAUUUUUUCGGAUGAUCAUGAUCUUGCGGGUGUCCUCUAGAGUUCGUUUCUCUCUGUUCCUGGUGAUAUCCAUACCCAUAACCUUUCUAACAGGCCCCAAAUAUUUCAUCUCGAACUCUUUAUUCAACAAGUCCUUCAACCUCUGUAUUUCUUCCUUGUCUGUUGAGACUAUUAGCAUGUCGUCGUGUAAAGUAGUAGGUAUAUGUGCGUGUCCUCCUUCAGCUUCUUAAUGUAAACACAUGUAUUAUACCUUCUCCUUUUAUAGCCAACAGACUGCAUGAAAGUGUUGAACCGUUGAUUCCAUUUCCUCGGGGAUUGCUUUAAGCCAUACAUGGACUUCUUGAGAAGGCACACUUGUCUUGUUCUUCCCUCAACAACAUAAUCCUCUGGUUGUUCCAUCAGAAUGUGUUCAUCAAACUUUCCAUGGUGGAACACGGUCUUUAUGUCCAUCUGUUCAAAUUUCAUAUCAAACUGUACCACAAUGGAGAGUGGGUACCUUAUGGACACUUGUUUGACUACUGGAAAGAAGAUCUCUUAGUAGUCGAUGCCUUCUUUUUGUGAGUAGCUUUUGGCUACUAGUCGAGCUUUGUAUCUCGGAGGUUCAAUUCUUGAAUAUCUAUUUGCUACCAUUUAUGUGCUUCUUCUAAGUUUUUUCUUUAAGCGCUCAGGUAUGGUUUCUUGACAGAGAAAUCAUCUUCUCAUUACCUGCAUCUUCCAUUCUUUCCAUUCAGCAUUGUCCAUCGCUUCUUGAUAGGAUUCUGGUUCUGCUGUCUCACCAUCUUCUGUUGUGUUUUGAGCAAACCCAACCAGAUUUAACAUUUUCAGUGAAUCUCAGAGGAGCUUUGAUAGUCCUUCUUGUCUUGUCUCUGACCAGUUGGUAGUUCUCCCACUCGUAAUCCUCUGAUUCGCUGCUUGAGCUUUGGUCAUCUGGUUGAUCCUCAUCUCUUGAUCUAGUUGUAGUUAUUUUCUGACUAGCAUAAGAUAUUGCUUCUUCACGAUCAUUAUCUUCAUUAGAUAACCCCUUCAGCUUUAUUCGUAUCAUGUCCUUGUCUGAGUCAAGUUGUCUCUCCUCGUUGACCCUUUGUGAUGCAAUAUUCUUGAACAUUAUUCCUUCUUGGAAUAAUACAUCUCUGGACACUACACACUUUCUGUCUUCUAAGAGCCACACUCUGAAUCCCUUCACACCAGCAGGAUAGCCAACGAAGAUACAUUUCUUUUCUCUUGGGUUUAGCUUCCCUUGAUCCGAGUGUACAUAAGCCAUUGGCUCAAAUCUCCUGAGAAUCUUGUAAUCAGGUGGAUGUCUUGUCCAUACUUCAUUUGGUAUGUCGAAAUCAAUAGAUGAGCUUGGACUUUUGUUUAUUACAAACACUGCAAUUGAAGCCGCUUCUGCCCAGAACUGUUUUUCCAUCCCUGACUCGCUCAACAUGCACUUGACCUUGUUCAUUAUGGUCAUGUCCAUCCUCUCUGCAACUCCGUUUUGCUGAGGGGUGUAAGCACAUGUCAUGUACCUUACAACUUCUUCCUCUUUGCAAAAAGAAUUGAAUUCCUAGUUGUAGAACUCGAGGCUAUUGUGCGUUCUCAGAGCUUUAGCCUCUUCCUUGUCUGAUUUUCUGCCAACACUUUCCACUCCACAAACUUGCUGAAAGCUUUGUCUUUAGUCUUUAUGAAGUAAGUCCAUGUCUUCCUGGUAAAUUCAUCGAUAAAUGUUAUGAAAUAUUGACAUUUACCAAGAGACGAUGGAACCGUUGGAGAUCCCCACAGAUCCAAGUGCACAUAAUCCAUCUUGCUCUUCGUGACAUGCUUCGCAGACCCAAAACUGACUCUGUGUGUUUUCUCGUAGACACAAUCUUCACAGAACUGCAACUCUUUCACUUUAACCUUAUCCAAAUGCCUUGUUCUGACCAGUACUUCCAAUCCUUUUGAGCCAAUGUGUCCCAACCGACUAUGCCAUAGACUUGUUUCAUCAUUCAUCAUGUCUAUAGAAUUUACUUCUCCAACCAGAGUAGUUGCUUGCAGAAAGUAUAGGGUGUUCAAUUUCUUCCCUGUUAGAACCAUAUCUCCUCUUCUUAUGAUUUUCAUGACACCAUUCUUUGACUCAAGCCAGCAUCAUUUGUCUUCAAGUGUUUGUAAAGAUAUCAGGUUCUUUGACACCGCAUGAACAUAUCUGACAUGCGUACGCAGCACUGUAGUUCCAUCUUCAUUCAGGAUCCUGACAUCUCCUAUGACCCUGACAUCUGAGUAAGUAUUGUUUUCCAUUAUGACUUUCCCACUUGAGGUUUCUAUGUAGUUCAACAACCAGUUUUUUCUCCCAGUCAUGUGAAACGAGUAGCCUGUACCAAGAACCCAUGUCUCCGGAGUUACCUCAGCAAAUCCAAGUAGAGCAUCCGACGCUACUAACGCAGCCGUGUCUGUGGUUUGAGAAGUUACAGUGGAAGCUUCACCUCGAACUGAUGAUGAGUCUCUUGACUUGUUUCUUUCCUUCCACAUGUAACAUUGUUUUUUUAAAUGACCUUCCUUUCCACAGACCCAACAAGUCUUUCCGCUUCCUCUAAAUUUUGAUCUGCUUUUGUGCUUCCCCCUGUCUGUCCCUUUGCCCCUUUUGUUUGAUCAGCCUCGGUCCUGAAAAAACAAGAUAUCUGAGUUGUUCUUCAGUAGCUUUCCUAUGGACUCAAGCUCCAGUAUUUUAGAUCUGAUGGCUACAGUGAUUUCUUCAAGAUGAAGAGUUGUCUUGCAGUACUUGAGUGUUUCUCUCAGCUGAUCAAACUUUCUAGGUAGAGACAUCAGCAAGACUAUAGCUUGAUCUUCUUCUGGUACUACGACUUUGACAUUCUCUAGAUCUGAGAUCAGCUUGAAGAAAUCAUUCACGUUCUCUUCUAUCGUCAUGCCAUCACUCAUCUUGUACGCAUCUAACCUUUGUUUAAGGUAUAUACGGUUUGGAAGAGAUCUUGCCAUGAAUAGACCAUCCAAUACUUUGAGCAUACCUGCUGUUGUUUUCUCCUUGAUGAUCUUCCUCAGGACAUGGUUCUCAGCGCUCAAGAUGAUGGUAGAUCUGGCCUUUCCUCUCUUCUCCUUGAGAGUUUUAGCCUGAGGUUCCGAAGCUUUUGGUGGUGCAGGGGUGACUUCUCUUUCGUUUGUUCCACCGCCUGCAGACUCUUCACCAACAUCAGCCUCUUCUUCUUCUUCUUCUUCAAGUCCUUCGAGAAGAGCCAGUAGAUCCAAGUGAGCCAACAGCUUUUCCUUACACAGAAUGUAGUUUCCAUCACCAUCGAACUUUUCCACUUAUGCUUUGUUCGAUGACAUCCUUCAGAGCUUCUUCAGUCGUCGAGGUUAUAGUAAAAUGGCUUUGAUACCAAUUUGUGAAAGAACGUUACACCUUGAACUAUAAAAGAACAGAACUCAAGUGAGUUUUUUGUUUGUAUCAAAGUGUUUAACUCUCAAAUCUCUUUUGUUCAGUCGUUUGUUUGGUUGUAAUCCAAACAAGUAAGUAAAUACACCAAAGAUUUAACGAGUUCAGGCCCUUCACCUCGCCCUACGUCUCGCUGAGAAACUUCUCAGAAAUCCACCAAGAAACUUUGCUCAAGCUAGAGCCUUUUUAGUGUUCUUACAAUCUCUCUCUAUCUCACUUACAAUUUUUUCUCUCUAACCCAUAACCCUAAUUAAGCUUACUCGACAUUGGGCGCGCCUUCUUCAGACAACGUCAGUACUCGCAUGCUUGCUAGUGUGGUCCAUCUUCUAGAGUCGGCGAUUAUCAGAACUUCAUCUUGCCUCCUCUAGUUGUAUGUACUUCUUCGACAAGAUGACACCAAGAGAGAGAGAGAGAGAGAGAGAGUGAAGAGCUUCAGUCUUCGUUUGUCUUUGUCGUCAAACCAAGCCCGACUCCUUGCUGGACCAGAACACUUCAUGGACUUCGACUUGGGCUUGAAGAAAUGACCCUGCAAAGUGUAGACCAAUUCCACACCUCGCAACCCUAAAUCCACCUGUGAUGAGAAUCUUUCAAUUCAACCACACACACGUGCUAAGCUUCCUUGACUACUUAAACCAAUUCAGAAAAAACAAAGUCCAUCACCAAGCUUGUGCCUUCUUCGGGCAACCUGAUCCACCAUCUCCUUGCACGUGUCCUCUUAAGCAAGCUUGGGAAAGCUUAGAUACUUUGUUCCGACGGAGGAGAGCUACUUACGAAGAACACGGUGGUGGAUCAUCUGAUAGUAACCCGUUUGGAAACGGGUCGAUCCGGAUUCAUUUGAGGGAAGAAAAAGAAAAGGAAGAAAACCAAAACUGACACCGUCGUUGUCAAGAAAGAUUAUUCAAAUUCUCUUCGGGGUUAUAAUUAUUAGUCCACUUGAUCACUCGAUCAUAUAUAAGGUAAUAACUUUUUUUCUCGUUCACUCAAUAAUUAGAGUCCGAUCUUUACUUCGACCCGUUAGAUAAAACUCUAACUUUGACUGGUGAUUUCUUGGAAGAAAAACCCUAAUAUGAGAAAUUAUGUUGAUAUUCUAUGAUUUCAAAAUGCUUCCUGGGUAUUUUCAAUUUAUAUGGAGUUUCAGAUUCUUACACAAAUGAAAAAAUGGUUACAUGUUCAGUUUUACUUUUAUUUAAUUAUCAAAAUUCUAUUGCAUUUUUUAAUUUAAUGAAAUGUAAAAUAUAAACUGAUAGAAAAUUGCAUUAAAUUCGUAAACUCGGUAACAAAAGUUUUACUUUACAAUUAUAUUUUAAGAAAUGUAGGGAUUAUUUACUAGGACGAUAACGAAUUUAAGAUUUUUUAAUAUAAAACUCAAUGCUAUAACUUAUUAAAUUUUAGCUUAAUCUCAACCUAUAAAUUAACUUAGUUCCUUCAUGGUGUGUGUAUAUAGCUCAAUUUAUUUUUAAUAAUUAGAUAUAAGAGCAAUUUGGGUCAAAAACAUAGAACUCUUACGAAAUUAGGUAAAUAUGAAAGAGGGAGAAGUUGUGCCAGCGUGUCACGGUUUAGGGACGCGAGAAGACGAUACUACCCUUCUGGUUUAGCAAGUCGACUUCCUGAUUAUAGGGUCCUAGGUCAGUGUCUGACAGGAAAGAUUUACAGAGAUUUGGCACUGCAGUGUAAAGAUUUGUUUUGGAUUUUAGAAGAUUACAUUGGUAACCGAUAUUCUAUAUUCUGCAGUUCUCCUAACUGUGGCUUGGAAUCUGGUGAUGACCAUGACGAUAACUCGAGCAGCAGCGACAUAGUGCUGAUCCUUUCUCUUUCUUUAACAGUGUGAUGACUAUUGGUUUGGUUGUGAGAAAGUAUAUACAUAGGCGGAGAGCUUUAUCCGAGACUCAUGGGCGGAGCUUCGUCGGAGACACAAGGCGGGGAGCUUGGCCAGAGACACAUGGGCCGAAAGGUAGACCAGAGACGCAGUGGCCGAGAUUUUCGCGGGAGACGCAGUGGCCGAAAGCUUCACCGGAGACGCAAAUGCGGCCGAGAAAUCUUACUUCGUUAAAUGACCAUUUAGAUGGUUGUAUUAAAUUAUAACUGGUACCAUAAUUUGUUAGAUGUAUAUUUAGUUGAAUAUACAACUAAGCAGAUUCAUGAUUUUAACCUAAUACCAUAAUAACUAAUACCCAAAACCCUAAGCCCAAUAGUAACUCCGGAACCCAAACUCUAAUGUCUAACCCCAAAACCCAAACACUAAACUCUAUACCCUUAUUACUAUAUCCUAAACCCUAUACCCUUAUUCUCAACCCUACCACCUCCGCCCUAAUGUAAGUGUAAACAAGUUAUGUAGAAAACUAAAUUUGUAUACAGUUUACUAUCGAUUUAACCGUCUAACAUCUACGUUCACCUAAAACGAUAACGUUUAAAAUUUCCGCUUAGCCGGAUACUUUUUGAAUGAACCGAGUGUUGUAACUGUUGACCGGCCAAAUCGAUUGUUUCUAUAUUAACGGUACAUAGGUUAAUAAACGCUUAACUCAAACAAAAAAUCCAAUGCCCUGAAUACUAAACUCUAAACCCGAAAUACUAAACCCUAAACCCAAUAGGAAGCCCAAAACCCAAACCCUAGUCACUAAAUCCUAAACCUUAAACCCAAUAGUAACCCCGGAACCCAAAAACCCUAGUCAUUAAACCCUAAACCCAAUACUAAACCCCUUAAACCCAAUAGGAACCCCUGAACCCAAACCUCCACGUAAGUGUAAACAAUUAUCUAGAAAAUUGAUUUCUUAUACAUUUAUGUAUCUUGUUAACCGGAUACUUUGUCCUUUCACCCUAAACAAUAAUGUAUUAAAGUUCAUCUUAGCCGGAUAUUGUUAUAAUUACCGGUCGGUUGUAAAUAUUGACCGGUUAAAUAGUUAGACUCCAUAUUGCGGGUACAUAACUUUAUAAGAAUCAAGAUCAUAACUAUGACAUAUGAAAUGAAUAUACGAGUAACGUUUAGGCAAUGUUUUCGUUGAUCACCCUAAACCCUAAACCCUAAGCCCUAAACCCCGAAACCCAAAAACCCUAGUCAUUAAACCCUAAACCUAAUACUAAACCCUAAACCUAAUAGGAACCCCUGAACCCAAACCUCCACGUAAGUGUAAACAAAUUAUCUAGAAAACUGAUUUCUUAUACAUUUAUGUAUCUUGUUAACCGGAUACUUUUUCCUUUCACCCUAAACGAUAAUGUAUUAAAGUUCAUCUUAGCCGGAUAUUGUUAUAAUUACCGGUCGGUUGUAAAUAUUGACCGGUUAAAUAGUUUGACUCCAUAUUGCGGGUGCAUAACUUUAUAAGAAUCAAGAUCAUAACUAUGACAUAUGAAAUGAAUAUACGAGUAACGUUUAGGCAAUGUUUUUGUUGAUCACGACAAAUUAUUAGACAGCUAAUAUUAUAUAUACACCUUUAAAAAUGAGUUACUUGAGAUUAUAAUCCGAUUUUUUUUAAUAUCAAAUUGUUAUACAGUCAAUAUAUUAUUUACACGGUUAACGAACAAGAAGAUUUUAUAUGACACGUCAACCUUACAACAUAUAUAACAUAUAUAUCAAGUGGAGACACAACGGUGAAGAAAUUUGUCGAAGAUGCCGUGGCGGAGGGCUUCACUGGAGACACGGGGGGUACAAGAGCUUGACCGGGGGCGCAUAGACCGAGAACUUCACCGGAGACUAGCGACUGAGAGCUUCACCGGAGACGCAGUGGCAGAGAGCUUCUCCGACGGCGAAAAUCCUUUCCGGCAUAAGACAAGGGGGCCUCCGCGUUCCGUCGUUCUCCUCCAUACAGUGCUUGAGUUAGAGCAGAAAAUUAUUUAAUUUUGGAAUGAGAGAAUGAGAGAGAGAGAAAGGCCUAAUGUCAAAUUUUCGAGUCUCGAAUUAUUUCGUAUAACCGCCAGUAACUGAUACGCAACCUCUGACAAAGAGAUUUGGUAGAGAAUAGAUCUUUGCAUAUCUUACAGGAAGAUUUGCUCUACUUCUUCGGUUAAUGAGAGGUUUAUGAAGUAGGUGUAGCAGGGUAAAAAGAUACCAUGAACAGUUUCCAUUUUUCAUGCAUUUGGUAUUUGGCCAAUAUCGUGUAAGUGUGUUGGUAGAGCUUCUAAUUUCUCAAAAGCAUGAUUAUCCGCUUGUUCCUUAAUUACGCUAUGGAUUGUCACUAUAUGGUGUAUACAUGUUUGGUAAUUGUUGGUAUAAUAUUCGUAGCUUUAUAUAGCUUCAAUGGUCAGUGUCUUGAUUUUCAAAACUUUAUUGUUUAUAAUAUAUACUGACUGAAAUUAAAAAAAAAAAUUGAAAUAAAAGUGUCAAUAUUUUUUUUGCGAUCUAAGAUAAACAUAAACUCGAUAAUUUAAUAUGCUUAGUUAUUAAAUACUAUCCAAAAUGCUUCACUCUUGGAUGGAAUUCUGAGAUACAUUGAAGGAUGCCUUGUCCAGAGUUCAUUUUACUUCACACAUCCGUUCCUACAUCGAAGGAGGAAAUAAUCUUUUGAAGACAAAAGGUAUUGCCCUUUGGCAUAAAAAACAAUGACUGAAAACACGGGAAAUCGGUCGAUUGAUACCUCAACAUAGUGUCGCGGUCCCGAUCAGUACAUAUACUCGAACCCUGUGCUAAAACAUACAUCAACACAUAAUAUAUUCAAAUUUCAUACAUUAACUAACAAAAUUCGGGUUUUACAUGACCAAUUACCCGUUAGUCAAAAAUAACAAAAUCUGAGUUCAAUAUGUGGCUUUUAUAUUUUAAAUAAUUAAUAAUUAGUAAAAAACACUAUCCAUAAUAGAGGAAAGGGGGGCUCAAACCUGGGUCCAUUAACCACUGUGACAAACACAAUGUUUUGAUUGUAUUAUCUAUAGUUUUCUAUUUAUACCUAAUAAAUAUUUCAUUCAUAUAUGGCAAUUAUUUAAAUAAAUAAUAAAAAUAAACUUUUUACUCUCUCAAAUAAUUGUUUUCGAAAUAUUUUUUUUUCAAAUUCAAAAUUUUUAUAAAAAAAAUAUAUCCAAUUUUUUUUUCCAAUAUUUUGAAAAUUUUGUUUUGAAUUUCGAAAAUGCUUUUUUGAAACUAUUUUUAAAAAAUUAUUUAUUAUUUAUUUAUUAUUUCUUAGAAUUCAAAACCACAUCUCAACUCUAAACUUUAAGUCUAUAUUAAUUAAUUCUAAGGAGAUGAAUGUAUAUUUACCUUUAAUAAAACCUCCACAGUUGAAGAAUUAGAGCUUCGGCUGAAAUAAAAAAAUAAAAAUAGUUUCAGAAUUCGAUAAUUAAAAAAAAUUUAAAAAGUUUAAAUUUAAAAUCAUAUAUUUCGAAAACUAAAAAAUAUAUAUAUAUUUUUUUAUUAUUUAUAUUUAUUCAAUAAUUAUUUGAAAAAAAAUAUUUGAAUGAAAUAUUCAUUAGAUAUAAAUAGGAAACAAUAGAGAAUAUAAUCAACAAAUCGUGUCUGGUACAAUGGUUAAUGGACCCGUUGAAAUACUGUGACCCAGGUUUGAGUCUCCCCCACCUCCCUUUAUAGACAAUUUUUUAUUAAUUAUUUGAAAUAUAAAAAAACCAUGUAAUUGUUAUGAAAGUCAGAAAAAGCAGCUACCGUUUUCGUUGAAAAUAUAAAAAGAUAUGGGAUCCGCUUCACUAUUUGCACAGUGAAUUUCUCUUCUAUAUAAACGAUCGUUUCGAUCAUUGUAAACACACCAUUCAUUCUCCUUCUAAUAACACAUCCUCUCUUGUUAUCAGUAUUAUCUUCUCCUACGGGUAUAAAAUUUUGCCCUUAUUUAAAUUCCCGCGAUACAAUAAAAUUCCAGUUCUUUUUAUAACACGUUAUCAGCACGAUCACUCUGCGAUUCGGUAAAAUUUAUUUGUAUCAUUUAUACCCUGUUAUAAUGGUCGGUAUACCGCCUCUACUAUUAUUUAUAUCAUGUUAUAAUGGCCGGAAUACCGCCUAUAUUAUUUACUAGUAAUUUAAUUUAUUUAUUGGUCGGCCGAGCCGCCUUAUAUUCUGUUUAUUAUUUAUUGGUCGGCCGAGCCGCCUUAUAUUCUGUUUAUUAUUUAUUGGUCGGCCGAGCCGCCUUAUAUUCUGUUUAUUAUUUAUUGGUCGGCCGAGCCGCCUUAUAUUCUGUUUAUUAUUUAUUGGUCGGCCGAGCCACCUUAUAUUCUGUUUAUUAUUAAUUGGUCGGCCGAGCCGCCGUAUAAUUUAUUUAUUACUCUGCAUUGAUCGGCUGAGCCGUCGCAUGAUUUGUUGUCAUAACAUAAAUAUUUCAUUGCCAUAAUUUUUACUUUUAUGAAAUUUUAUAGAUUUGAUUGACCGUUUAAUACGAUAUUUUCAGACUGAUUUUUAGUGCACUUGAUUUAACCCCAACGGUCACAAAGAAGUUUUUUCAAAAUUUCUCUUUUCUCCAACGGUCAUGAACAGUGAUUUUCAUCUAUAAAUACAACUCAUUUUCACUCCAUUUCAUCAUCCAAAACAUAUCAUCUUCUCUCAAAAAUUUCAAAUCGCUCUCCUCCGAUUUUUCAUUUCAAGAAAGAUGAUUCGCGCACUUUUAUUUUUAUGUGCCAUUUUUAUUUGUGUUUCUAUUUAUGGUUUAUUCGUUGGAGAAUUUACUCCGAGUGAAUUUAAGAUGAAUAUCGGUUUAAUUUUCUUUACAUCGCUUCUCCUUGUAAUUGCUUGCAUGAUUAAUGUAAACGGUUCCUUUUAAUAUCAAUAAUAUUCUAAUAAUUUUUAUUUAUGUACUUUAGAAAUACAAAUGGCAAAAAUAGAGAAACUUCAGUUUCCGGCAUUGGAAGUAACUGGCACAAACUACAAGGCAUGGGUCACAAACAUGGAGCUUCAUCUAGAUUCCGAGAAAAUACUCGAAACAAUAAGAGAAGGCAAUAUAUCAACCUCUCAUGAAAAGGCUAAGGCCGUGAUAUUUCUGAGAAGGCAUCUAGAUGAAAAUCUUAUGCAUGAUUAUGCGAGAACCAAAGAUCCCUUAGAUCUUUGGAAAGCUCUGAAGGAGAGGUUUGAUAACCAAAAGAAAAUUACUCUCCCCCAUGCACUCGAUGAGUGGAAAAAACUACGAUUUCAAGAUUUUGAAAAAGUGAAAACGUACAAUUCCGCUAUAUUGAGAAUAGCGGCGCAAUUAGAUAAUUGCGGUAAGCCUGUCUCGGAAGCAGAAAUGCUCGAGAAAACUUACCAAACGUUCCACAAAAAUCAUUAUGUUCAACAAGAACAAUAUAGAAAUUGUGGGUAUACGAGGUUCUCUGAACUCGCUGUGGCGCUUAUAAUAGCGGAGAGAAAUAAUGAACUCCUCAUUAAAAACCACAAUGCCCGACCAACGGGAACAAAAGCAUUUCCUGAGGUAAAUGCAACGGAUAUAAAAAAUCCGGAAAAAAAAAAUUAUUCCUAUCGUGGGCGUGGUCGUGGCAGUGGUCACAAUCGUGGUUUUGGUCGUGGUCGUGGUUAUCGAUUUAACCGCAACCAUGAAAGGAGUAACAACCCAAGAGGAAGGGGAUCCAACACAUGGAAUCGAUCUGAUCGGGUAAAAGGAAAAGAAACCCAAGAAAACCCUACUCAUAAAAAUGAGAACGUCUGUUACAGAUGUGGAUCGAAGGGACACUGGUCUCAAGUAUGUCGAACUCCUCAGCAUCUAUGCCAAUUGUACCAAGAAUCUAUUAAAGGCAAGGCAAAGGAAGUAAAUCUCAAUGAACACCUUGUGGGUACAACAUCGACAUACCUCGAAUCCUCUGACUUUAUGGGAGAUUUCGACGAGGCCACUCAUCAAAAUAAUUGAAGUGCUUGUACUGAUCAAGCUUAAAAAUGCCUAGUGAUGCCAUAAAAUAUUAUGUAUUUCACUUUCAGAAUAAUGUUAUAUUUCAUAAUAACUAAUGUAUAAUUAUUGUGUACUUGUUAUUGAUGGAUAAUAUGUUUACUUAUGAAAGUUUAUUUUCUUUAUUGAUAUUAACUGUGUGUUACAGAAAUGGAUAAGAAAGCAAAUGGAACAACAACUAAACAAAUUGGUAGAGAAGUUUGCAUACCAGAUAGUGGCACAACGCACACUAUACUGAAAGAUAAGAGAUAUUUCUCUACUUUAAAGUCAGUAAAAAUGACUAUAAACACAAUAUCAGGUCCUACAGACCUGAUCGAAGGAAUUGACAAGGCGAACUUUAUGUUGCCUAAUGGAACAAAGUUUUCCAUAGAUAAUGCCUUAUAUUCUCCAAAUUCUAAGAGAAAUUUGCUGAGUUUCAAAGAUAUAUACCGUCAAGGGUAUAACACUCAGUCUGCAACUGAGAAUGGAAAGAAGUAUUUGUAUAUAACUUCUGAAAAAUCAGGCAAAGGCCUUGUACUGGAAAAAUUUCCAGAACUUCCUUCUGGAUUGCAUCACACUUAUAUUGAUGUUAUAGAAUCACAUCUUGUGAUAAAAAAGAAUCCAGAAGAUGUUACAUUAUGGCAUGAUCGCCUUGGUCAUCCAGGCACUACAAUGAUGCGAAAAAUCAUUGAAAGCUCACAUGGUCAUUCAAUAAAAACCCAAGAUAUAUACCAAAGUAAUAAAAUGACAUGUGAUGCGUGUGCUCUUGGGAAAUUAAUCAUAAGACCAUCACCAACCAAAGUUGACAAAGAAUCACCAAAGUUUUUGGAAAGAAUCCAAGGUGAUAUUUGUGGACCAAUACAUCCACCGUGUGGACCAUUCUACUACUUUAUGGUAUUAAUCGAUGCAUCGAGUAGAUGGUCACAUGUUUGUUUGUUAUCAUCUCGAAAUAUGGCAUUUGCGAGAUUUCUAACUCAGAUAAUCAAAUUAAGAGCACAGUUCUCAGAUUAUCCAAUUAAAAGAGUUAGAUUAGAUAACGAUGGUGAAUUCACAUCCCAAGCUUUUAAUGAUUAUUGUAUGGUAUCAGGGAUUGAAGUAGAGCAUUCUGUUGCUCAUGUUCAUACACAAAAUGGUUUGGCAGAAUCAUUAAUUAAACGGCUGCAACUAAUUGCAAGGCCAUUGAUCAUGAGAUCAAAACUCCCAACCUCUGUAUGGGGACAUGCUAUUUUGCAUGCAGAAGCACUAAUUCGGAUAAGACCAAGUGCAUACCAUAGAUAUUCCCCAUUACAGUUAGCAUUUGGAAAAGAACCAAAUAUCUCUCAUCUAAAAAUCUUUGGUUGUGCGGUUUAUAUUCCAAUAGCACCACCACAACGUACAAAGAUGGGACCGCAAAGACGGUUGGGAAUAUAUAUUGGCUGUGAUUCUCCAUCAAUAAUAAGAUACCUAGAACCACAAACUGGUGAUGUGUUUUCGGCACGAUUUGCCGAUUGUCAUUUCAAUGAGAAAGAAUUCCCAACUCUAGGGGGAGACAAUAAACAAGUAGGAAAAGAGAUCAAAUGGAGUGUACCAUCGUUAUUACACCUUGAUCCUCCUACGAAACAGUCAGAACUAGAAGUUCGACGUAUCAUGCAUUUACAAAAUAUAGCAAAUCAGCUACCUGAUGCAUUUGCUGAUACCAAAAUGGUAACUAAAUCACAUAUACCCGCUGCAAAUACUCCUGCUCGUAUUGAAAUACCACAAAAUGGUGGAACGGCAGUUGAUACACGUGAAUCAGGAACACGUUUAAAGCGCGGUAGACCUAUUGGUUCAAAGGAUAAACUUCCUAGAAAACGUAAGGAAUGUGAAAAGCAUGAUACUCCCAAAAUAACAGAAAAUAUUUUGGACGAAGAAAAUUGUGAAUCUAAUGACAAUAUAAAGCAUCUUGAAUCUGAAGGAAAUCAUGAGAUUUCUAUCAAUUACAUCCAUAAUGGAAAGAUAUGGAAACGAAAUGAGAUGGAUGAUAUUGAUGACGUUUUCUCAUACCUUUUAGCAAAGGAAAUAAAUGAAGAAAACGAAGAUCCAGAACCAAAGUCUGUAUAUGAAUGUCAAAAGAGACAUGACUGGAUAAAAUGGAAAGAUGCAAUUCAAGUCGAAUUAGAUUCGCUUAACAAACGAAAUGUAUUCGGACCUAUUGUGCUCACACCCAAAGAUGUAAAACCAGUUGGGUACAAAUGGGUGUUUGUCCGAAAAAGAAAUGAGAAAAACGAGAUUACGAGAUACAAAGCUCGUCUCGUAGCCCAAGGUUUCUCUCAAAGGCCAGGAAUUGAUUAUGAGGAAACUUAUUCUCCUGUUAUGGACGCAAUCACAUUUAGAUUCUUGAUGAGCCUAGCGGCCAAUAAAAAUUUAGAAAUGCGUCUCAUGGAUGUUGUUACGGCAUAUUUAUAUGGAUCAUUAGAUACUGAUAUCUAUAUGAGAAUCCCAGAUGGAUUUAAAAUGCCAGAAAUGUUAAGUUCUAAACCUAAAGAGUUAUGUGCAAUAAAAUUGCAAAGAUCAUUAUAUGGGUUAAAACAAUCUGGACGAAUGUGGUAUAAUCGUCUCAGCGAACACUUAACAAAAGAAGGAUACACGAAUGAUCCUAUAUGCCCUUGUGUUUUCAUAAAGAAAACAACAUCCGGAUUUGUGAUAAUCGCGGUGUACGUUGAUGAUCUUAAUAUUAUUGGAACUCAAAACGAAAUCCAAAAGGCAUCAAACUAUCUGAAAGGAGAAUUUGAGAUGAAGGAUCUCGGGCAGACAAAAUAUUGUCUAGGAUUACAAAUUGAGCAUUCUCAAAAUGGUAUAUUUGUACACCAGACUACAUAUACCAAACGAGUAUUGAAACGCUUUAACAUGGAUAAAGCAACUCCUCUUAGCACCCCGAUGGUCGUUAGAUCACUUAAUGUUGAAAAUGAUCCGUUUCGACCAUCCGAGGAAAAUGAGGAAAUACUUGGUCCUGAAACUCCAUACUUAAGUGCAAUUGGAGCUCUUAUGUAUCUUGCAAAUUGUACUCGGCCUGACAUAUCUUUUGCCAUUAAUCUUUUAGCGAGAUUCAGUCCGUCUCCUACGCGAAGACAUUGGAAUGGAAUUAAACAUGUCUUUCGUUACCUUCAAGGAACGACUAAUUUAGGCUUGUUUUAUCCUAAAAGUUCAAAAGGUCAAAUGAUUGGUUUUGCAGAUGCAGGUUAUUUGUCAGAUCCACACAAAGCUCGAUCCCAGACAGGAUAUGUUUUUACAAUUGGAGGCACCGCCAUAUCUUGGCGUUCUCAGAAGCAGACACUUGUUGCUACUUCUUCAAAUCACGCUGAGAUCAUUGCACUCCAUGAAGCAAGUAGAGAAUGUGUAUGGCUAAGAUCAAUAAGCCGACACAUCUGUUCAAGCAGUGGGAUUGACGAAAAUACGGAGCCAACUAUUCUAUAUGAAGAUAACGCGGCAUGUGUUGCUCAAACGAAGGAAGGAUAUAUCAAAAGCGAUAGAACCAAACAUAUACCCCCGAAGUUUUUCUCAUACACGCAAGAGCUUGAGAAGAAUAAAGAGAUUGAAGUAAGAUAUGUUCAAUCAUGCGACAAUGCAGCUGACCUCUUCACAAAAUCACUUCCGACUUCAGUAUUCAGAAAACAUUUCCAUAACAUUGGAAUGCGUAAUCAGAAGGAUAUAUGACUGCUUAAUCGAGGGGAAGCUUACGUAGUUGUACUCUUUUUACCUUACUAUGGUUUUUCCCAUUGGGUUUUCCUAGAAAGGUUUUUAACGAUGCAACAAAGAUGUUAAGCGAGAGUGGAUAGUGACACCGGUCCCCAAGGGGGAGUGUUAUGAAAGUCAGAAAAAGCAGCUACCGUUUUCGUUGAAAAUAUAAAAAGAUGUGGGGCCCGCUUCACUAUUUGCACAGUGAAUUUCUCUUCUAUAUAAACGAUCGUUUCGAUCAUUGUAAACACACCAUUCCUUCUCCUUCUAAUAACACAUCCUCUCUUGUUAUCAGUAUUAUCUUCUCCUACGGGUAUAAAAUUUUGCCCUUAUUUAAAUUCCCGCGAUACAAUAAAAUUCCAGUUCUUUUUAUAACAGUAAUCAAUAUGUAACAGAUAUAUCAAAUUUCGUUAUCUUUGCCUAACAGGUAAUGGUCAAUGUAUGUAAAAGCUAAAUUUGUUAGUUGAUGUAUGAAUUUUGAAUAUAUUAUGUGUUGAUGUAUGUUUUAGCACCGGAUCCGAGUGUAUAUACCAUCUUUGUUGAGGCAUGAAUUGACCGAUUUCUCCUGGAAACACACCGUCUUUGUUGAGGCAUGAAUUGACCGAUUUCUCCUGGAAACACAUUUAAUCAUGCCUUUGUCAAACUAGGCUUUACAAAUUUGUAUCAUCCGCCUAAAAGACCAAGAUAGAGAAUGGGCUGAAAUAGAAAAAGAAAAUCAGAAUAUAUUAUUUCCAAAACAUCUUUACCACAUCAAACCCCGCAGACUUUAAGGGUGAUGCUUUAUUGGGCUUAAAUGGAUCUUAAUUUUACGCCAUCGGGCCUGCAUCAAUACUUUCCGUCUGAAAUUAGGUUCUCUCCUUCUCAUGCAUCUCCCUGUUUUUACUUUUCAGUUGUGCUAUUUUGUUUUUGGUAGACGAUGUGUUUCUUAUAAUAUUGUACAAUAUUAAUGUGUGAAUAAUAAGUGUGCAUCGUAUAAAGGAAUCGACUACGUGGAUUCAUUAUUUGCCACUAACUUCACCACAUAUAUGUCAUAACCUUCCAAAUUUGACCGCAACAUAUUCAUUACAAUGACGUUACAAAGUAAAGUUGUUCCCUACAUUUUGUUAAUAUAACUAUAACAGUAAUCAUAAUGAUUACUUUUUAAUUAUAGUCAUCAUAACCGGUAACGUUUAAAGUAUUUUGUUUUUAGCAGUACUAGAUUUAUAUGUAUUUUUCAAUUCAAAAAAAAUAAUGUAUAAUAUUGUAUUAUAUUAUUUAAAGAAUAUAAAAUAAGACUACAUAACAUAAAUAUAUUUUUAAAAUUUUCUUUGUGGAAAUCAUUAUGUUGUUUGAUUGUUGUACUUGAUUCACAUAUUUGCAUAGAUAUUUGUGAUAAAUGAAUAAUUAUAUUUUUAUUAUCAGUAAAUAAUAUAUAUUUAUUAUAUAAUAUAAGAAAAAUGAAAUUAUUUACUUUUUAAACAAAUUUAUCUCAUGUUGGGAAUUCGGUUAUAGACAUAUCAUAUUCGAAUGAGACAUUUUUACAGUUAUCAAUCUUCUUAACAGUCAAGAAACAAAUCUGAAUAUCAAAACAAUAUCUCAUACGAUCUCUUUAGGGAAUAACUGCUCUGAAGAAAUUGAAUUUAAGCAUAAAAAAGGACUGGAAAUGGAUGUGCAGAUGUGUUAUCUAAGUCAGCUUUACAAAAUACUAUUCAUAGUUCAUAUAUCAUUUAUGUCAAUCCUAUUUUUUUGUCCAUCCUUUCUUAAACAUCUUGAAAUAACUAAUGAUAAUUAAUAAUAAACUUUUGGCUAGGAAAAAAAAAUCAAAUUUGUCUAAUUAUUGUUUAAUUUGUUUAAGUGAUAUAUGUAUUUCUCAAUUCAAAAAAAUAAUUUAUAAUAUUGUAUUACAUUAUUUAAAGAAUAAAAUAAGACUACAUAACAUAAAUAUAUUUUUUAAUUUUUUUUUGUGGAAAUCAUUAUGUUUUUUGAUUGUUGUACUUGAUUCACAUAUUUGCAUAGAUAUUUGUGAUAGAUGAAUAACUAUAUUUUUAUUAUCAGUAAAUAAUAUAUAUUUAUUAUAUAAUAUAAGAAAAAUGAAAUUAUUUACUUUUUAAACAAAUUUAUCUCAUGUUGGGAAUUCGGUUAUAGACAUAUCAUAUUCGAAUGAGACAUUUUUACAGUUAUCAAUCUUCUUAACAGUCAAGAGUCUCAUAUUGGGGACUCGGUUAUAGACAUAUCAUAUUCGAAUAAGACAUUUUUACAGUUAUCAAUCUUCUUAACAGUCAAGAAACAAAUCUGAAUAUCAAAACAAUAUCUCAUACGAUCUCUUUGUGAAAUAACUGCUCUGAAGAAAUUGAAUUUAGGCAUCAAAAAUGAUUCGAAAUGGAUGUGCAAAUAUCUUAUCUAAGUCAGCUUUACAAGUACUAUUCAUAGUUCAUAUAUAAUUUAUAUCCAUCCUAUUUUUUUGUCCAUCCUUUCUUAAACAUCUUGAAAUAACUGAUGCUAAUUAAUAAUAAACUUUUGGCUAGCAAAAAAAAUCAAAUUUUCUAAUUAUCGCUUAAAUAUUUUAUUAAUAUUGUCUAAGAAACUUUCAAGUGAUAUCAUAGUUUAAUUUUUAUUAGUUUUUUUUUUGUUAAUUUUUAGACUUUUUUGUAUUUAAGAUUUUUUCCAUAUUAAGCUUCUAUUUCUUUCACAGAAUUGAUAUAUAUAUAUGUCAUAAAAAUUACCAUCAAAUCAGUUUUACUUAUUUCUUAUUUUGUUUUUAAUGAAAAUACACUUUUUAAAUAAUUUAAUUUAAAAUAAAAUUAUAUAUUAAUUUGUUGUAUUCUAAGAAUUUGAUUGAUUUAAUUAAUUUGCUUUGUGGAUAACUUAAAAAGUUUUCAUAUGAAUCGGGGAAAGCAAACUUAUGUUGUUAUAUUAUAUUUAUUUUUGUAUAUAGAAUCUAUAUAUAAUGCUAGUGUAAUAAAGAAAGAACAAUUUUUUUUUGUAACUUCAAAAAAAUACAUUAUUACAAUUUGAAAUUAAUCAAAACUGAAUAAAAUGGUAAUUAAAUAUUUGUAAAUCUAAUUGUUUUUUAUCUUGUUUAGUUGGAUUCUCAUGAAAAGAAAUCGAUAGGUUAAACAAAUGUUUCAAAAUUUGUUGUGUUAUUGUUUUGUCUACAAAAUUUAUUGAAUUGAUAUAUUUAAUUAUUGCACCCUUAAAUAAUAUUUUAUUAAGACAUUAAAGAACUAUGUUUUAUGUUGUUUUGUCAAAAUUGUACAAAAAUCUAUGCUUUUUCAUAUUUAUCACGAAAAUUUAUAUGUUAAACUUACUUUUACAAAAUUCUUAACUUUGUCACGAGAAUAAAAUUCUAUGCUUUUUCAUAUUUGUCAAUGUUCUCACACUUUCAAAAAAUAUAUUAGCUUAGUCACUUACUUUUUUUUUUUUACAAAACAAAGUAUCGGAGUCUUGAAAGUUGAAUUCAUAUUAUUGUAACUGUAUAUAAGAGUUUGUGAUUACAUACUUAGUGAUUCUUGUAUAUGUUUCCAAGAAAGUUUCAAUGGCUUAGUUUUUUCGAUUUUUCCCUUUGCAUUGUUUUUUCAUUUUUUACGAAAAAAUAAAUGAGAUGACGUGACAACUUCGGACUCUCUGAUUGAUUGAUUUUCCUAUCAUCCGUGGACACCUUCUUCAUGGCUUAUAUUUGCCUUUUAGUAUUGUAUAUUGAUGUUACAACGUAAUCUUUUAUUUCACAUAAAGUUUUGUUUUCAUACUUACAUAAUACAAGGAAGACAAGAAAAACGUAAUAUAUAUCUUUUAGUCAGCCUUGUUCUUUAGAUAUUUCUCAUCUUUUCAUGUCGACCUAAAAGAUAUUUCUCAUAUAAAUACUCAAACUUGUCGCUUCAAAACGAAGAUACAAAGAUAUUAUUCUUAAGUUCUUAUACGAGACCAUACGAACAACGGUCGAUAAAAGGGCAAAAGCGAAAAAAAUCAAACAAAUGAAAACAUCUCAACAACAACAUCGUUGCGGUUCGACACUAGUACAAACCAUCAAUGCUCCAUUGCCUCUGGUGUGGUCAAUACUACGACGUUUUGACUACCCGCAAGCCUAUAAACAAUUCGUGAAAACGUGCGAUCUAAGCUCCGGCGAUGGAGGAGAAGGCUCUGUCCGUGACGUGACGGUGGUUUCCGGUCUUCCGGCGGGUUACAGCAUAGAGAGGUUAGAUGAGCUAGACGAUGAGUCUCACGUAAUGGCGAUUAGCAUUAUUGGCGGUGACCACCGUCUCCUUAAUUACCGGUCUAAAACGACGGCGUUUGUGGCGGCAGAGGAGGAGGAGAAGACGGUGGUGGUGGAGAGUUAUAUGGUGGAUGUGCCGAAAGGAAAUAGUGUGGAGGAAACAACGUCCUUUGCUGAUACCAUCGUUGGGUUUAAUCUUAAGUCAUUGGCUAAGCUCUCGGAGAAUAUGGCACCCAAGCGAAAAUCGUAGUUCUAAAAUUUGUAGUAGUUAAGUUAUAGUUUUAAAGUUGUAAGAAUUAAAACCCUUAUUCAAGGAGAGUUUAGAACUUUAGAUAGUAAUGUAGCCAUAUCAGAGGGGAAAUAACGAAGGUACUUUGUAUAAUAUUAAUUAAGUACAUGUGUUUUGUGAAAUAACUGAAAAGAAAAUUUAAAGAAAAAGAAAAAGACAACUAUCUAUGUAUGAACGGUACGAGUAAAAAAAUUUUUUUGUCUAUAAUGUUCACGUUGAAAUGAAUGAAGGGUUGAGCCUGAAUUAUUUUCUUUUUGAACAACUGAAUUCAAAUUAGAAAUUAGGGCCAACCCAAUUGGAGUUCAUGUUACACAAUCAGCAGGUCCAUUCUAUUUUUAGGGACAAAGAAAAAGAAACAGAAAGACAAAAAACACGAUAGGGUUUUGAUAUCUAAUAGAACUCAGUGGAAAUUCUUCGGUUUUUCCUUCGAAACGAUAGCUCUGACGAGCUCGAGGGAGUCUUAUCGAAUCCAGACUUUAGUGUAUCCAAGGUGAAUCGCGUGAGAUAAGGCCGAACGGAUCGCCAAUCCCUCUGCGAGGAGUGGUGAUUUCACAUCUGAUUGCACUUGANNNNNNNNNNNNNNNNNNNNNNNNNNNNNNNNNNNNNNNNAGCCAAGUCAUGUUUCCUUUGUUGAUGGAUUCCAAGCAGCGUCCGUGUUACAUAGAACGGUCCCUAUCGGGAUCGCGGGGGUCAAUGAUCGUGUCGGAGCUUUUGUCUGAUCGUUUGUGGGUUUCAAGUCUGAUUGCGCCGAGGACCAUUCCUUAGCACUUACUACCGCCUUUGUGAUCACAAUCAAGGGAGAUGUGUGUCUAUACUCGAAUAGGAGUUGAUUGCGAGCAUUCCAAAUCAUCCAAAUUAUCCAGGAGAAGAUGUCGCCAGUGAUACCCGUUGGUGGUAAGCAAAUCCACUUCGCCGAUUCUUUUAAUGCUUCCAGUAAGGAAGAACAUGACAUAGAGAAGAAGGGCGUGAGAAGAGGAGGUAGGUCCCAGACCUGAGAGGCGAAAGUACAGUAGAGAAAAAGGUGAUCAAUUGAUUUGAUUCCUCCGCAGAAAGCACAGCUCGUGUUUUGAAUCACUCCGCGUAUUUGGAGAUUGUCUCCAGUGGGUAUAGCUUCAUGUAGGAUUUUUCAAAUAGCUUGAUCUUCGGCAAAUAGCUUGAUCUUCGGCAGCUUAGCGUUGUUCCAGAUGUAUUUAUUCAAGUCCAGAGUUGAUAUCGCAUUUGGUAGUGUUGGUCGGAGGUGUGAUUUGGCCACAGCCAUAGCCAAACAUAUGAAUCAGAUGCUCCAGUGAUACUUGGUCUGAUGAUCAUGAUCUCCUCCGCUACCGGCCUGAAUUAUUAUUAUAUUAAAUAAAACUCGGAAUAAUGGUGUGAUUUAUAUGAUGACAUAAUCGAUAAUUUGACCACUGUUAAAAACAAAAUCCCAUACAAUUUUAGGGAUUAUAUCAUGUGUUUGUUUUUAAAACAAUUAUCAUGUGUUGUUUAAUAUCUUUUGUUUAUCUGUAUAUAUUUCAGAACUUAGUUGCCUAUUGAAGUGAAUUAUACUUGGCAUCUAGUCGACAGGCAACAAUUACUGUUUAGAUUUUAGAAGGACAAAUGUUAGAUUUUGUGGCGUUUAUUGUGCGUCACGUAACGGAGUAAAGGGCCUUGUUAUAUUCUGGGGCAUUCUAUUUUUUUUUUCUUUUGUAAAAAGGGCCAUUCUAUAUUUGAGAAAUUUUCUAGAAUGAUUCUAAUUUUUUUUAUUAUAAUAUAUAGUUUUCAAAGAUCAAUAUGAUUAAAAAAAUUAUUAAAAGGUAAUAGACAUAUAUAUAUAUAUAUAGUCACACGAUUAACUAAUAUACAUUUACAGUUUAAAUUUGAGAGGUAGGAUGAAGUAUAAGAUUUAAAAAAAUAAAAAUAAAUUUAAUCAAAAAAUUUAAAAUAGUUUCAGCAAACAGUUUUUGAAUUUCAAAAUAAAAUUUGAAAAGUUUGAAUUCAAAAAUAUAUUAUUCAAAAAUAAUAAAAAUUAUUCUUUUAUUUUUUAUUUGAUUAUUUUUAUUAUUUAUUUAAAUAAUUAUAUAUAUAUAUAUUUAAAUAUCUAUAAAAUAAAAGUAGAAGAAUCUUUUAUCUGAAUUUUUUUGGUCAUUUUCUUCUCAUGUACUUGUUUAGUGAAAAACCCUAAAACGUCAUUUAAAAGAAUUGCCUUCUUUUUUUUGGCAUCAAAAAAGAAUUGCCUUCUAUAUUUUGUUAAUUUGGCUCUUUUCAUUUCUGUUUUUUUUUUUCAUUCUGUUCUGCCUUAUCCCCGUUUGGUGUGUGUUUUGUUUGAUCGGUGGUCCGUAGGAAUCGCUGACACAUGCUCAAUUACCAACGAGCCACUUGCAGCCAUCACUUGCUUUUCAUUCUGCCUAGCACGCACACUUUUGUAAUCUUACAACUUAUAUUUGGAAAACUAUAAUAUAUAUAUUUUUUUAGGUAGAAAAUAAAAUAUUUUUAAAAAUGAUCACUUGUGAAUUUUUUUUACUAAAGAUAAAGUAAAUAAAAGUGUUAGUUUAUAUUUGGAAUAACACUGCUCACAUUUUAAUAAUUAGUGUAAUAUAUAAUGUACGAUUGAAAACACUUUUACUCAAUAUAAAUAUAGUGUUUAAAGAGAAAAGUAGAAUACCAUCAUCAUACAUGCUUUUGAUAGACAUAUUACCUUUUAUGAGUAAGGAUGGAGUAAGGAUGGACGUUCCUCGAUAUCUAAGAAAAUUAUUGGAGGUUAUGGAUAAUGAUAACAUAUUGUAUUGAGAUAAUGAUGUAUUUAGAGAUAGGAGUUAUCUCUAACCAAAGUCGGUUAUGAGAAGUUGUAUAUAUACUUUCAUACGUAAAUGAAUAAACUCAAACAGUUCUAUUAGAUUUACAUGGUAUCAGAGCAAAAAUCAUUAUAAGAAAUUGCUUCUGAUUAAUCAAACUAAGAAGUCAUGAGUGACAACGAAGAAAUGAAGCAAGUGGCUGUGAAACAGAGUGCGGCGAAAGUGAUAUCACCUUAUUCUUUGUUUUCAUCAGAUAAUCCUGGUGCGUUGAUAACAUCGGUUCAGCUGAAGGGGGAUAAUUACAACGAAUGGGCCAUGGAGAUGGAGAAUGCUCUUCGAGCAAAGAAGAAAAUAGGGUUCAUCGAUGGAACUCUAUCCAAACCGGCAGAAGUUCAUUCUGAUUUGGAAUCGUGGCUUAGUGUUAACUCGAUGAUAGUUGGGUGGAUUAGAUCUUCUAUGGAACCAAGGGUCAGAUCAACCGUAACAUUCAUCACGGAGGCUCACAAAUUGUGGGAAAACUUGAAGAAACGAUUUGAAGUGGGGAACAAGGUUCGAGUUCACCAACUGAUGGAGCAGUUGGCUUCGUGUAGGCAAAACAGUCAACCAGUGAUUGACUACUAUGGUCGCUUGGCCAUGAUGUGGGAGGAGCUGCAGACAUAUACGCCACCACCAGCGUGCAGUUGCUCAGCGGCUGCCGUGUAUGAGAAGGAACGUGAAGAUGAGAGAGUUCAUCAGUUUAUCAUGGGUUUGGAUGAAGUGCGAUUUGGUAAUGUCGUGACAGCAAUCAUUGAGGCUGACGAUAUGCCAGAUCUUGGUAAAGUUUAUGCUAAAGUUAUCAGAGAGGAGGCUAGGUUAAACUCAGCUAAGUCUCGGGAGAUCGUGCAGCAAGAAGUUGUUGGUUUCGUGUCUCGCAAGGAAGUGCUAGGAGAAACACGAGAUUCCUUUUCGUCUGGUUUUGGUGCGAAAACAGAGAACUCAAAUGGUGGAUAUGGAACCAGAGCAAGGGACCGUCUGUGUUCUAACUGUGGCAAGACGGGCCAUGAUAAAAGUAAUUGUUGGCAGAUCAUUGGCUAUCUGGAAUGGAUGAAUGAGAAGCGUGGACGAGGAGGUUCGGGUAGAGGUCGUGGUGGUAACGCAGGGCCAGGAAGAGGAGGAAGUGGCCGCGGUACAUCACAUGCUGCUCAUGCAACGAGCUCGCAAGGAGCAGGAUCGUCUGAUCUCACGCCUGAACAAUGGAGAACAAUUUCUCAGAUUAUAAAUGAUGGGAAAUCAAGUGCGCAAUCAGAGAAGUUAUCUGGUAAGAAUAUUGGAGAUGUGAUUAUAGACUUGGGGGCUUCUCAUCACAUGACAGGAGAUUUGAGUCUUCUUGUGAAUGUGAAAGAAACUCUACCGUGUGUUGUUGGGUUUGCAGAUGGAAGAACCUCAACUUCGGUACAUAUGGGUGAUAUGAUUCUAACAAAUCGUAUUUCCCUCAAGGAUGUGUUGUUUGUGCCAAAGUUGGAUUGUAGCUUGAUUUCGGUUUCCAAGCUGUUGAAACAUUCCAAUUGCUUUGCCUUAUUUACGGAUACUAUUUGUGUAUUGCAGGACCGUUCUUCGAAGACUCUGAUUGGAGCAGGUGAGGAACGUGGUGGGGUUUAUUUCUUCAGGGAUGUGAGAGUUGCAGAGGCUAACUGAGCUGUAACAAGUGAUGAUCAGCUUCUAUGGCAUAGGCGACUUGGGCAUCCAGCUUUCUCGAUUUCAUCUUCUUUAUCUACUUUGUCUAGUGUUUUAAAUAAAUCUAGCUCUAGUCCUUGUGACGUGUGUUUUAGAGCAAAGCAAACCAGAGAUGUUUUCAGUGAUAGUAUUAAUAAACAAGCAAGUGUUUUGAGCUUAUACAUGUCGACGUGUGGGGACCUUACCGUGUACCUUCCUCUUGUGGAGCUGUGUAUUUUCUUACUGUGGUGGAUGAUUUUUCAAGAGCCGUAUGGACUUAUUUACUACUUGCGAAAUCAGAAGUAAAGAGAGUAAUGCAGAGGUUUUGUGCUUAUGCUGCGAAACAAUUCGGUAAAGAAGUUGAGAUAGUCAGAAGUGACAAUGGGAUGGAGUUCAUGUGUUUAGAAGAGUAUUUUCGAGACAAUGGCAUUGUUCAUUAGACAAGUUGUGUUGCUACACCACAGCAAAAUGGGCCUGUGGAAAGGAAGCAUAGACAUAUAUUGAAUGUUGCAAGGUCGCUCUUGUUUCAAUCAAAUUUGCCAGUCAAGUUUUGGGGAGAGGCAAUUUCAACAGCGACACACGUUAUCAACAUGACUCCAUCUGUGGUGUUAAAAGGGAAAUCACCGUAUGAGGUGUUAUUUGGCAAGAAGCCGUCAUAUGAUACGUUGAGAGUCUUUGGGUCGUUGUGUUAUGUUCAUCGACGAGAUAGGAGUAAGGACAAAUUUGGAGAAAGGAGCAGAAAGUGUGUCUUUGUGGGCUAUCCUUUUGGCAAGAAAGCUUGGAGGGUCUAUGACAUUGAGAAGAAUGAGUUUCUGGUGUCACGUGACGUGAGUUUUAUUGAGGACGUGUUUCCUUUCAGUGAGAUGAGUGGAGAUGCGGUUCAUCAAAUUGAGUUAACAGGAGGAUCUGACGGUGACUGGACGAUAGAAACGAUCGUAGUUGACAGGGGGAGUACCUCUCAGGCAAUGGAUGAGUCUAUUACUCCAGUUGACAAUAGUUUCGAAGCAGAAACAACAUUCACAAAGAAUAUCCAGGAAGAGAAUGUGGCUGAUGUCGAAGUUCAGAAGCAGAGUACUGAACAGAGCAGUGAUGAGAGUGUAGAAGGCGAUGGUAGUGUGGGAGUGAGUCCAGCAGUGAUAGUAGAACCAGAGAUGGGUAGAGGACACAGAGAGAAAAUUCCCUCGGUUAAACUGCGUGACUACGUGAACUACAAUGCGAGAUGCAUUAAAGAAGAACCCCAUCACGCUGCGCUCACUGCACAAUCAGAGUCCUCGUCGGUCCAAGGUAAAACACCAUACCCUCUUCAGAAUUAUAUCUCUGAUGAAAGGUUUUCUCCAGCUCAUAAGACAUUCUUGGCCGCGAUCACAAGUGGAGAAGAGCCAAGGAGUUAUAAGGAGGCAGUUCAACAAGAAAUAUGGAGAAACUCAAUGAAAGAUGAGAUUGGUGCGUUUGAGCUGAAUAAGACUUUCAUCAUUGUUGAUUUGCCUCCUGGAAAGAAAGCUAUUGGCAACAUGUGGGUGUAUAAGUCAAGUACAAUGCUGAUGGUACAGUAGGGAGGCCUAAAUCAAGGUUGGUUGCCUUGGGGAACAGACAAGUGAAAGGAAGAGAUUUUAAACAGACGUUUGCACCCGUCGCUAAGAUGACAACAGUGAGAAGUUUAUUGCGCGUUGUAGCAGGAAAGGGCUGGAUUGUUCAUCAGAUGGAUGUUCACAAUGCAUUCUUACACGGGGAUCUAACAGAAGAAGUUUACAUGAGGCUUCCUCAAGGAUUUAAAACAGAUGAUCCUAACAAGGUUUGUAGACUUCACAAAGCUAUUUAUGGGUUGCGGCAAGCACCGAGGUGCUGGUUCUCUAAACUCACGGAUGCCUUAAAGCGGUUUGGAUUUAAGCAUUUGUAUGCUGACUACUCAUUAUUUGUGUACAAGAAGAAAGGAAUGGAGCUCAAGGUACUCAUCUAUGUUGACGAUUUGUUGGUGUGUGGGAAUGACUUGGACUUUGUGUCUAGGUUUAAAGGGUACUUGAGCCGAUGCUUUAAAAUGAAAGAUUUGGGAAAGCUGAAAUAUUUUCUUGGAAUAGAAGUAGGGCGUGGUGAAGAAGGCUUCAUGCUCACACAAAGGAAGUAUGCGCUAGACUUGAUCUCAGAUGUUGGAUUAUUGGGGGCUAAGCCAGCAGCCACACCAAUGGAGCAGCAUCACAAAUUGGCUUUGGAUACAAGUCCGUUUAUGAGGGAUGCUGAGAAGUAUAGAAGAUUAGUUGGUCGGCUAGUCUACUUGUCGAUUACCAGACUGGAUAUUUCGUAUUCAGUACAUAUAUUAUCACAGUUCAUGAAAACUCCACGACAGGUGCAAUGGGAUGCGGCGCUAAGGGUGGUUCGUUAUCUCAAGGGUACAGCGGGGCAAGGUAUUAUGCUGAGUUCCAAACUCGACCUCAGUUUGUCAGUGUUCUGUGAUGCAGAUUGAUCAGCUUGUCCGACCACUAGAAGAUCUUUAAGUGCAUAUGUGGCGUUGGUUGGUGAUUCUCCGGUUUCUUGGAAGACAAAGAAGCAGGGAGUGGUCUCACAUUCUUCAGCAGAAGCUGAAUAUAGAUCCAUGGCUCAGGCAACAAGAGAGAUCAAGUGGCUUCGAAGGUUGUUGGUGGACUUAGGAGCUCCGCAAAUGAGACCUUCGAAACUGUUUUGUGACAGUAAGUCUGCGAUUUAUAUUGCAGCUAAUCCAGUGUUCCAUGAAAGGGCUAAACAUAUUGAGUCAUAUUGUCAUCAAGUGAGAGAUGCUAUUCAAGAUAGAGUGUUGGAGACAGUGCAUGUACGAACAACACAACAGCUAGCGGAUGUGUUAACAAAGGCGUUGGGGAGAGUUCAGUUCGAAAAUUUGCUGUUCAAGUUGGGUGUUAGAAACUUUCAUAUUCCCAACUUGAGGGGGAGUAUUGGAGGUUGUGGAUAAUGAUAACAUAUUAUGUAAUGAGAUAAUGAUGUAUUUAGAGAUAGGAGUUAUCUCUAACCAAAGUCGGUUAUGAGAAGUUGUAUAUAUACUUUCAUACGUAAAUGAAUAAACUCAAACAGUUCUAUUAGAUUUACAAAAAUUAUCACGUAAAAUAUAUACAUAAAUUUUCUAUGAAUUUAUAUUCAUUAAAUUAUAUAUCAAUAAAUUUUAUCAUUUAAACCGAACCAUAAUAAAAUAGACAAAAUUUGAUAAAAUUGUAUAACAAAAACAAUUUUUUCACUUAAAUACAUACUGUUAUUAGUAUCAUUAAUUAAUAGCUAUAUAAACUUAUGCACAUAAAAUUAGUACAUGAUAUACUAAAAACAAAUUAGUACAUGAUAUAUUAAAUAUAAUUCUAGUGUUGUUCUUUAUUAAUAAUUAAAACGCGUUAAUUCUAUUUUUAUUAACUAUCAUAUCAAAUAAAUAAUUUUGUUCUAUAUGAAUUUUGAAUUUGUGAAAAAAUUAAACGUGAUAAUUUUUUUUGUGUAUAAACUAUUUUAUUGGGCUAAAAGUUACAAGCCUCUCUUAAACCCCAACUAAUAAUUGAUCUGAUGAAAUUCUGGCUAAUUCUUAAUCAAGCCCAACAAAUCCCAACAAUUCUUACCAAGAGGAAAAGGCCGAACAGAUGAAACAUCAAAUUCAGUAAGUCACUCUUGGCGAUUCCAACUAGUAGCACCAGUAUUUAAUAUUUUAAUUAUCCAAUUAAACCAUAAAUUACUCUAUCGAGAAAAUAACUAAGGUUGAUUAAAAAGUGGUUCUCUCUCUCUUCUCUCUACAAAAUCUUUUAGAGAGAGAGAGAGUACUUAUGGUUUGUCGUCGGAUUUCAUUAUCGGCGUUGGUUGGUCGCCGGAUUUCAUUAUCGGCGUUGGUCUCCCGCGUGGUCGGGCUCUGCCUCUGGCAAACGAUGGCUCCUAUAGCACCGUUUGGCCGGCUUUGUCUGUAGCGUCACCUCGUUCUUCUACGGUGGUGUUGUCUAGCAUCAGUCCCGGUUUUUUUCCGGUGAUCUUCUACUCAAUAGCUUCUCUACUACUCUCUACUAGUUUCAGUUCGGUCAAUCAUCAUUUGGAUUUCUCUUCUUUUCUUUCUUCAUCCGUCUCGGUGUUGAAAGUACAAGAUCUGAUGUCCGAUGUUCUUUGAUUGAUUUGCGAGAUCGAGAUUGAGACUUGUUUAUCAUUCCAUGGAUUGAAGCGUUAAUUUUUUGUUAAUGAUAUGCCGGCUUUGGUUUUCUGGUGAUGUUUGGCUGCUCCGAUUUGGUCUCAUCCAUCAGCUUGUUGAAGUUUUGCGGUUGUCCGGUGGUGUCGGGGUUACGCCGACGAUCUGUGAGUCGACGUGUUUGGGCGGUGGGAUUUGUCCUUUUCUUGGCACGUGUCUUCUUUCCUGCUACAUGAGUGUACACGUGUUCUCAAGAGUAAUGAUUUGUCUUUUCCUUCCGCCUUGAAAGGCUUGGUCUGGGCCUAAGCGUUAUUUAAUAUUUAUGAGGCUUUGUUCAAUGGAGUUAAUCUUUUUAGAGGUUUGAUGGUGUAGCGGAGGUUCGUUUAGCAUCGGUUCACCGGCUUUGUUCCAUCGCUGCUCUCCUCUCUCUUUUAGUUUGGCCUAGGUUCAUGGUUCUUCUUUUCUGCUUUGAUGUUUUGAGUUCUCAGGUUGGUGAGUUUGGCCAGGUUUCGUUCGGGGCUUCGUCUUUCUGACGUGUUAUUGCUGCGACGCAUCUACUAGCUCUUUUCUAAGACUGUUGGGUCGGGUUCAUGACGUCGCAAUGGUCUUGAUUUUCAGGUCUUCUCUUGCGAGGAGGUACCCGGUCUUUAGUCUGUAGAUACUGGGACUGGUGUGCGAGUGUCCGCGUGUAAGAGCUGAAGGUCUUGGUUGGCGUUUUUCCCUGUCGGAGAUCAAGGUUCCUAUCCUUGUGCUUGGGCUUUCUUAUCGGCAUUGUCUUCUCGGUUUGGUGAUGCAGUGGAGUUUCUAUCAAUGUUCUUCGUUACUCUUGUGAUCAUCUCUGCUAGAAUUGUGAUUGGUUGAGUUAGUUUUGUCUCCUACUUCGCUUGGUAGCAGUUUGGAUCUUCUCGAGCUCAUUGUUUCUCAGUCCUUUUCUGGCUUCACCUUUGUUCGUAUGGAGUGGUUUUGAGAGUGGUUUUGGACAGUGGAUUUGAUUGAACUCUUUGAAUCAUGGCUUAUCCAUUGAGUUGUUUGGACCUUGCUUGUACGUUUGUAGUGUAAGUCUUAGUUGACUUUUAGUCUCUCAUCUUUGGGCUUUUGUCUCCGGAAAGAUACUUUGCAGGUUUGUCUCCUUUAUAUCUUUGGGUUUUGUCUUUGUUAUAUUUCUCUUUGUUUAACUCAGUUGGCUAAUAAAAUUCAGACGACAAAAAAAAAAAAAACUAAGGUUGAUUAAUAAAAUAAGAAUAAAUCCAAAAAGGUCGUGGCUGGCAUGUACUACUGUUAAGUAUUUUUCACGUAACUGUGUUCACUAUAUAUGCCAGGUCACUAAACUUCUAACCGUUGGUCACCACACUAAGGAGUAAUCCAACGGUGCCAAUUAAUUGACUUCCUGAAUCCUAUGAGCCUCUGGCACGUUGUCCCAAGUCAACGUUUGAUAAAAUGAAAAUAAAAUAGUUCCAAAAUGUAUAAUUUUGAAGAUAGUGGGACCCAUAUCAACCAUAAUAGAUCUUUGUUAAUUAUCUAGUAAUCUUUCCCGGCAUAUAUAUGUUUACUUGAUCAACGGGGAGGAACAAACGCAAAAAUGAAUGAUUUAUUGUUUUUCUAAUGGAAACAUGAUGUCAGUAAUUGUAUUUAUGAGUUCAUACAUUUUUAUAAUUAUGAAAAACCUAAAGCAAGUUAAUAGGACUUACUCAUUAAAGGAAAAUUUCAAGAAGAAGAAAAAAACAGAGGCAGUUUUGUGGGGGAAAAUUGUUAAAAAAGAAAUAGAAAAUAGGAAAAAAAAAGAUUUCAGAGAGAGAGAAGAAGAGAAAGGAAAGGGGGAGGAAGAAGAGAGAGAACCCACCACCCUUUGGCCCUGGAGAGACCAAAGAUGGUCGAAGAGAGAAAACUCUGAGAUCAUCAUCAUCAUUCUGCAAAAACGAGGGCAAGUUCAAGAACAAACAAUACAAUAUAAUUCAAUAUCUAUUAAAUUAAAUUCUACCUUUUUUAAGUUUUUUUAAGAAAUCAUUUUCGCUUUGUGGGGGUAUUUACUAGUUGUUGAUUUCUCAAACCCUAGCAUUUCUUGGUUAAGAAGUUUCUUCUUUAAGGUAAAUUUGUUUUCUGAUUAUUUGUUUGGUUUUGUGUACGUAAUCUGUAAUGUUUUGGAACUUUUUGUGGGUUCCAUGUUUUCGUCACAUUGCUUCUUCAAGAGGGUUAUUCUUAUUCCUUUUCUAAAAAUAAUUAUUGUUUCAUACUUUUUGUUCAAGUUUUUAUUUAUGCUUCUUGUUGGCUUUUUUCCAGGUAUUAAAAAGAUUGAAGAGAAGAAGAGAAUUUCACGAGUUUUUAAUUUUUAUUGAAAUAAACACUUCUUUGAUGAUUAGGGUUUCGUGCAAACAAUGAGAGACCCUCAUUAUUCAAUCAUCAACCUCGUCGUUCUCCUCUUCCCGAGGAUUCUGUAAAGUUUGGAAUAUUUUUAUUAUUCCUUUAUUUGUUCAUUAGGAAAAAAAAGUCUGGCUAUUUUGUAUAAGCUAAAAUGGGUUGUCGAUGGAAUCCUAUUGGAUUUCAAUUCUCUUGCUUCAUGUUCUUGAUCAUUACCCUUCAGUCUCGUUCCUCGUUAUCCCUCAACUCCGAAGGUAAUUCUCAAUAUAUUAACAAUUUUGUCUUCUUUUUGAAUUUUUGUUGAAGGGUUUUACAAAUGCUGUAGGAUUUGUGCUGUUGAAAUUCCUGGAAAGAGNNNNNNNNNNNNNNNNNNNNNNNNNNNNNNNNNNNNNNNNNNNNNNNNNNNNNNNNNNNNNNNNNNNNNNNNNNNGAAAGAGUGGACUCUGAUCCUCACGGAACUCUUGCGAAUUGGAAUGUUUCUGAUGAUCAUAUGUGUUCUUGGUUUGGUGUAACGUGUGUCGACAAUAAAGUCCAGAUGGUGUAAGUUCCUGUUUUCUUAUAUUAUGUCUUUGUGAUUCUUAUCGCAAUUUUUGAUGUAUAUUUUUGUUUUGUUAUGUAGGAAUCUUAGUGGAUGCUCUUUGGGAGGAACUUUAGCUCCUGAGUUUAGUCAAUUAAGUGAAUUAACAUCUCUGUAAGGGGUUAUUUUUAACUUACCUUUUGCUCUGUUUCUUGAAAAAAAUAUGAGAACAAGAAACUAAUUCUUGUUUUUUUUUUUAUAGAGUACUAUCCAAGAACAAUCUCUUUGGUGACAUUCCAAAUGAAUUUGGGACUUUUCCAAAACUGAAGUUGUUGGAUUUACGAGAUAAUAAGCUAAGCGGAGUAGUUCCACCUGAGCUAAACAAAAUGUUGACACCAGAGAACUUGUGAGUUAAAGGAUUUAUUAAACCAAACCAAUGUGUUUUGACAAAACAAAAUAACGUUGGCUUUUUUUGGUGGAUUCAGGCUGCUUUCUGGUAACAAAUUUGCGGGAUUUAUGAAGAUAAAGUUCCUGAGACUUCAAUCGCUAUAUCAAGUCCAGUUAAACAAGCAUAAAGAGCUGUCUUCUGCUUCCAAUGCUGUCUUCGACUGCGUCAAUAGAAAACUUGGAUACUGGUAAUCACCUUUUUUGCAUUAGAUAUGUUAAGGUGGUAAAAUAUUUGAACAAUGUUCUUACAUUUUUUUAUCCAUUUUAAAAAAGUGUUUCAAGGAGAAGAUUGUUAAGACUAAACAAAGCACAAGCUUUCGUAUUGCGGAUUAAAGCAACUUCAAGAAUGUACAUAAAAGCUUUUUUUUUUUCUUUUUUCAAAAUAUAAAUUCAUUUUGGUUACAUUUGUAUUUUUAUCCUUAGUGUUACUGAUUUCUAUGUUUAUGUCUCUUCAGGCUUCAAAGGGAACCUCAAGGGGAGAACUAUGACAUGAAUUAUCCCCCAAGUAAGCACAUAAAAAAAACGGUUGAAACAUGAAACCGUAUACAAACUAACAGUGUUCCUUUUUGUAGGUUCUUUACAGAAUGAAAGUAGUGUCCUCAGGAGGCGUGAGUUACUAGAGGGAACAAGUAAUUUAGCAGCUAUGCCUGCACCAGAUGCUCCUAGUCCUUCUCCUGACACUAUAACCAUAGUGUUUCCUCGAAGCAGCGGGUCUUUUCCCGCGUUAACCACUGCAAAGAAGAGGAUACCUCCAUUGAUCCCUCCUUCUCUUCCUCCAACAGCUGAGUACAACAACAAUACAAGCUCUGACCCUCCAAGGCAAUUUGAAGAAGAAACAAAAGGGUCUACUGCUGUUUGGUUGUAUGUUGUUAUCGGCGUUGCUGCUUUUGUAGCGGUGUUGAUAGUGAUAGGGGUUAUAUUCUUCUGCCGGAAAAGAGCUGUCAAGAGUAUAGGUCCAUGGAAAACUGGUUUAAGUGGACAGUUGCAGAAAGCUUUUGUUACUGGUAAGAAAAAUGGUCUUAAAUUCUUUUUAUUUGGUUCUGUUUCCGGUUUGACAUAAUGUGAGAAAAUGUUUUUUCAGGUGUACCGAAGUUAAACCGGUCUGAACUAGAAACAGCUUGUGAAGAUUUCAGUAAUAUUAUUGAAGCAUUUGAUGGGUACACUGUCUAUAAAGGAACAUUGUCAAGUGGUGUUGAGAUUGCUGUUGCUUCAACCGCUGUUUUGGAAACUAGAGAAUGGACGAGAGCUAUGGAAAUGACUUACCGCAGAAAGGUAACUCUAAAGAUUCAUUACUUUCGCAUUUUUUUGUAGGAUAUUGAAUUGACUUUUGGAGAACUCAAAUUUUCAGAUUGAUACAAUGUCAAGAGUCAACCAUAAGAACUUUAUCAAUCUAAUUGGAUACUGUGAAGAAGCUGAACCAUUUAAUAGGAUGAUGGUUUUUGAAUAUGCUCCAAAUGGAACUCUUUUCGAACAUUUGCACGGUAAUAAACAUCUUAGUAUGUCUCCAUAUCAAGAUUAUUUUAAUUUAUUAUUAUUAUCAUAAACCUCUAUCUUCAUUGUCAUCUUGUUCAGAUAAGGAAAUGGAGCAUCUUGAUUGGAGCGCGAGGAUGAGGAUAAUAAUGGGAACUGCUUAUUGUCUGCAAUAUAUGCACGAGCUUAAUCCACCAAUCGCGCAUUCUAAACUAGUCUCAUCAAGAAUCUACUUAACCGAUGAUUACGCAGCCAAGGUUGCUUGCUCUACAAGAAAACUGCAUUGAUGAUUUUUGUUUUCUUGCGUGACAGGAAAACUAUUUCAAUGGUGAUAUUAAUUCAUGACCUAAUAAAGACUUUUUUUCUUUGCAGGUCGGAGAGGUUGCUUUCAGUUCACAGACAGGGCUAAAAUCGAGAAAACCGAUGAGUGGUGAUUUAGAUCAAUCUUCAUUGCCAUUACCAGCUGAACCAGAGACUAAUGUCUAUAGCUUUGGAGUAUUAAUGCUCGAGAUUAUCUCCGGAAGGCUCUCCGAAUCAGAUGAAGAAGGAUCAAUUCUGAAAUGGGUAACACUAAAAAUUCAAAAUAAAAUCCAUUUUCUGAAAUUUACAUUACUAAUGUAACACUUUUUUUUUAUGUUUUCUCAUAGGCAUCAAAGUAUCUGGAGAGUGAUCAUUUGAAAGAUAUGAUUGAUCCUACAUUAACAACGUUUAAAGAAGAGGACCUUGAAGUGAUCUGUGAUGUGGCAAGGCAUUGUCUGAGAAAUGACCAAAGUCAACGACCAACGAUGAAAGAUGUUGUUGAACAACUGAAACAAGUAAUCAACAUUUCCCCAGAACAAGCUACACCGAGACUCUCUCCUCUUUGGUGGGCAGAACUUGAGAUCUUAUCCUCUGAAGCUACUUAACCUCUCUCUCUCUCUCUCUCUCUCUCUCUCUCUCUCUCUCUCUCAGUUACGACUCGUGUCAGAGGUUCACGCUCCUUCUCACUCUCACUCUUCCCGGUGGACGUCGUCGUGUAAAAGUUGUUCUUUUAUUUAAUUCAUCAUAUUAAAUUUGUUUCUUGGUUGGUUUUGAUAGUGUAUUUGGAUCCAGAUAAUGUAACGAUGUGUUUGUAAAAUUAUAUACUAUCAUACAUAUACCUAUAUAUUUGUACGUAUUUUGUGGUGAAAAGUUGUUUGAAACUAUUAACCUCAGCUUUUUAAAACCAUUAUGUGAUAUUUUGUCGUUUUUAUGCAGAGUCUGUUCAUUCUUCGGCGCGGAGGGGGGGGGGGAGGGGACGGCUUUCGGUUGAUUUGGAUUUUUGGUAUUCUGCUCAUAAGUUCCAUUCAGGUUUUACUAAUUAUCGGGUUGGGUUCGAUUAGGUUACUUUUGGGUUUAGUUCGGAUUGGAUUGUAACCAAUGUCUGAAAUUACCUAAAAUUAUAUUUUUUUUUUAACUUGGAUUGGAACGAGACUGACCGACAGACAUAUUAACGUCGACUCAAGAUGUAAGAGAUGUGGAGAACCUGAAUCUAUAACUCAUCUUCUGUUCCACUGCCAGUUUGCGAAAGAUGUGUGGCUUGCUGCUCCUUUCAAUCCUGGUUUUGUGAUAAGAUCAUAACAAGAGUCAUGGCAUCGUGGGAUCAUCUCCACUAGUAUACCAUGUUCUAUAUUAGUUUAGUGGACAGUUAUUUAGUUGACAUGUUCUUGUGUAUUUAAGUUACGUAUGUUUUGUUUAAUGGGAUAUGAAAAAGAAAAUUGACGUAAAUAGUUUCUUAAGUCUUUGGGUUCCAUCAUUUUGGUAUCAGAGCACUUCUAUCCUGCGAUUUCGCGUCACCGAUUUGAUCCGGACCACUUAACUGUGGUAUCAAAUCACUUUCACCCACAAAAAAAAAAAAAAAAAAAAGUUUUAACAACCUUNNNNNNNNNNNNNNNNNNNNNNNNNNNNNNNNNNNNNACCCUUUCCCCCCAAAAAAAAAAAAAAAAAAAAUGUUUCAGCAGCUUCAUGAUUGUGAAGAUUAUUACGAUCACGUCUACUCUGUUCGCGAGCCUUUGUAUGACGUAUACGAUGAAGAUGUUGUGAUGGGCUUCCAUGAAGUGCAAACUGAAAUGCUCCGGAAAGUUCAUGACGAGCUCCAAAAGAUGAAAGUUUGUAUAGCGGAUAGUGUCAAGCGUCUCGAGAAGACCGUUAAUCAUAUGGUGGAGUUGGUGAAAGAUAUGAGAUCUAGUGAAGAAAAAGCUAGUGAUGGUAACGUUCAACAACCUUCUCAAAGAUGUGUAUCAGUUACGCAAUCGGCGAACUCAACGCUAAAACGUGGACGACCUCGAACGGUUCCGUUCCGCAAAUGUCAAACUUCACAUGUUGGCAAACCAAGAAAUAUUAGCCCAAUAACGUACAGAGAAGGUCUUGUCUCUACACGGACUCAAAAACAAGGUACACUACCUCAAGCACCUUCCAUGCGAUGGAGAUUCCAAGUUUCAGCCUAUGCUCUAGAUGGUGCAAUGGAAAAAAAUUCUUUUGGUGGGGAAGGUGGUAAAGGAAACCAUCCAUUUGAUCGUGGAAAAGUUAGGAUCAUGGAGAAGCUGUUCUCAAAGAUUGGUAUGAACUUUGGGGACAAAGUUCUUUUAGAGGGUGGAGUAUUGAUAAGAUCAUAACAAGAGUCAUGGCAUCGUGGGAUCAUCUCCACUAGUAUACCAUGUUCUAUAUUAGUUUAGUGGACAGUUAUUUAGUUGACAUAUUCUUGUGUAUUUAAGUUACGUAUGUUUUGUUUAAUGGGAUAUGAAAAAGAAAAUUGACGUAAAUAGUUUCUUAAGUCUUUGGGUUCCAUCAUUUUGACAGUAGCGGAAUUAUAGAUAUAAUGGAAUGCUGUGAACAUUUGAAGAAGCUCACCUGCUUACCCCGACAGGGCUAAUCACGGGAAACCUCCCCUCCUGGAUCCUCUGGUCGCUUUGGAUAGCUCGCAACAACCUCUUGUUCAAUAACAGAACCUCGAAGCCGGAAGAUAUCCUUACUAAAGCGAUUGCAAGGACAAGAGAAUGGCAGAAUGGACAAGCGAAGACACAACUACAAAAAAGGACUCUAGUCCCAACAAGAACAAGGGAAGAGAGAGUAAAAUGCAGGACAGAUGCGGCUUGGAAAGCUACAGGAAGUAUCGCUGGUCUCGGGUGGAACAUCAUUGAUGGAAGCAUGCCUCUUAGUUUCUCUACCUUUGAUUUGAAUGUCCAAUCUCCCCUGGUUGCGGAGAGCAUUGCAAUGAGAGAAGCUAUGGCAAAAUGCAUUGAACUGGGUUUGGACUCUGCCUGCUUUGAAUCUGAUUCAUCUCAGCUGAUAUAUGCCAUAAAUUAGUUGAAGAUCCCGCUGGAAGUUUAUGGAGUUGUCUCAGACAUCAUCCUCCUAUCCUCUAGAUUUAUCUCUGUUUCUUUUUAUUGGAUAAGCCGUGAUGUUAAUACAGUUGCUGACACCUUAGCGAAACAAUGUUUGGUGGUUGCUGAGGCUUUUAUGGCCGAGACCUAACUUCGAUGAAUGAAUGAAUUAGUUUGUGUUCAAAAAAAAAAACUUGAAAAUUGACAAAAAAAUUCAAAAUGUAUAAAUUAUUCAUAAAAUCUAAUUAAAAAUUAGUUGAACUAUCUAAACUAACUAAAAAGUAUUCAAAGUAAUAAAUAAAACAAACUACACAAAUAUUUAGAAUACUACAAAUUAUCUUAAUUACUUUAACAUAUAUAAAAUCAUUAACAUAUUUAACUAUCGACAUCAUCAGAUCCUAGUUCGGAUUUUGGUUCGGUUUGGGUUAUACCAAAACCUUAAAGUACUGAGCUCAUAAACCCCGUUCAGAUAUUUUGUAUAACGGUUCGGAUAGAUACUUUGGCUUGGGGUAAAAACAUUGAUACCUAGCUUCAAAUGUCAAGAUUCCUCAUGCCGCAUCCAAAGUCGGCACUCUGAAGUAGCUGGUUUCCGAUAAACUCAUCGAAUCGAACUGCACUGAAGUUGUUGUGUGUUUUUUUUUUUGAAUUAAAGUUAAAUUUAUUCAAAAACUUUUCUUUACAUCAAGUGCAACUUUUGUUUAAAGAAUUAAAAAAUCAAAAACUAGCUGUUCUUCUACUCUAUCCUUGUGCCAAACCAGUAUCUUAAGCCACCUUCAUAUCUCAUGUCUCCCAUCAUCACAAUAGAGCUGAAACGGUUUCUGACUCCCUUCUCAAUGAAUUUAACUAGCUGCACUGGUGUAAAUGAGCUUCCCCAUGUCUCCUUUUAUUUCUUUCUCUCCAUAUGCUAUGGACAGUUUCUUGAAAGAGAUACCUGAUAGUAAAGCAACUCAGCAUAUCUCCAUCUGUUUCAGAUAUCAGCCCAAUAAUAUCAGGUCAAUCAUUUGUGUAUCGAUCUCCUAGAAUUGGUCUCAUAAGUUUCUUCCACACCUCAGCUGAGAAGGGGCAAUUGAAAAAAAAGAUGGUCUCGUGUUUCAAUAGGAUCUUGACAUAGGGUACAGCUCCCAUCAACAUUCCCUCCCCAUUGAAGCAAGCGGUCCCCUGUUGCAAGUCGAUUUUUCAGAGCAUACCAAGUCAUGAAAGCAAACUUAGGUGUAGAAUGUCGAAACCACACUCCUUUGCUCCAUUGACACAGUGGCUGUUGAUCUCUGAGUAGCAUCCAAGUGGUUUUUGUUGAAGACCUCUUCUUGUACUUUCCUCCAAUACCUUUCCACAGGCUAACAUCCUCCGCAUUAUCCGCAUUUGCUUUCCUCUCGUCAAUUUCAUCCUCAAUUCUAUUAAGAAUUGUUGUUCUGUGCCUUCUUCUGUGGAACAUCAUAGCUUCUUGAACUGUAGUGUGAGCAGGAAGACCAAGAUCAGUUACUCGCUCUCCUAGAAUAUCUGAGAGACAACCCGAUGAAGACCAAGUUUUAUGCCAAAAAGAUGUAUUCUCUCCAUUUCUAACUUCAACUCGAUGAAAACUUCUUGCCAUCUUCUCAGUUUCAAUCAUUUAGCCCACAUUCAAGAACCAGAUCUUGUUGUUUCACUUAAAGACCAGAAUGACCCUUUCCUUAUGAGAUAUAUCUUGAUCCAUUGAAGCUGUUAUGUUUUUUUUUUUUUUUUUGAACUGAUGAAGCUGUUAUGUUGCUACAAAUAGUUUGCACAAAAAUAUUUCUCUCACUUGGUCAUUUUAUUUUCCUAAAGAAAACAUGAUAGUAUUUACUUGUUUUUGGUAAUAUGGCCGAUUUUUAAUCCUUUCAUGUGACACAGAGUCGAACGUUGAUGCCAUGCCCAUAUCACUGGCAACACCGCGCGCUUCUUUUAAGUUAGUAUAGUCGUGUUUAACUUAUUAGUAAGAUCAAACCUGUUCUCAGAAAACUUAUUAGUAAAGAUCAUAUACGCAAUAUAUAGUUGUUCUCUCAUCUUCUCGAGGAUAUUUUUUUUUUAAUAAAAACAUCUUCUCGAGGAUGAGGUAGAACCGUAGAAGUCGGUCUCUUAUGUGUUAUCGCACGUGGUUGGGCAAAAUCAGAGCAAAUAACGCACGAACCGUUUCGACAUGCGGUGAAGAAGAAAAAGGAAAGACCUUUUUCCAAGAAAAGAAAAAAAAAAAACUAUACGCGUAGGUGACCAAAAACGUAACUUAUGAACAUAUGAUCGUAUUAUCUGUGACCUGAGCCUUCACAGACACAGAUAGAAAACGACAAGCGUCACGUACUCUUGUGUUAAGCACGCCACACGGAAAAAGAGACACGCGUAGCACGUGUCAAUAUUUUGCAUACGUGUCUUGAUUCGCUGCUACAUAUAAAAAUAAAACCAAUUAUAUCGCUGAAAAUUAUUUCUGUUUUUGAGAAAAUAUAAUAUCUAAUUUAUUAAAAUAGAGUCCUAAUUUUUAUCUACUUAAAAUUAUUGUCAUUAAUUUUUGGACUUGAUCAUAUCUCACUAAAGAUAAAUGUACCAUCCUUAACUUUUAGACCUAUUUUCAUUUCCAAUAUUUUUGUUAGUAAGUACCAUAUUUCUGCUGAAGUUUAUUAGUAUACUAAUUAAAAAUAGUAACUACAAUUGAUAUAUGUAUAAAGAUAUUUAUAUUCACAAAAUUGCACUUGUGUAUCUAGGAAUAUGCAAGAUGGAGAGCUAUUUUCUAAACUUUAUUGAUAUACUAUAUAUACUAAUGAUCUUAUAUUUACGGAGAAUGAUUAAUAUGUUUAAAAAUAUUUAUAUACACUAAACUGUAUUUAUAUCAUAAAAGAAUAUAACAUCACGAAACAUCUUUACAAAUUAUUUAUCUAUACUAUGUUAGUAAGAUACUUUCACUUUUUUCAAGAUAUAAAAGUGUCGAUAAUGAAAGUUUUAAAAAAAAUAUUUACAUAAUCAAAACAAUACUAUAAUAUUUAUUUAUUUUAGAAUCUAAUCUAUUAAUUUAGGGUUCUAUUUUUUAUCUACUUACAAAUAAUCUAGGUUGGACAAUUACAUUUAACUAGCUUUAGUAUUAUUUUUACUUAUAUCGAUCUAAUUUAAUUAUUAUUAAAUAUAUGUAUACCCGAACCUAAAAUUAAGGAACGAAAUAACUAAUCUAUUGUUUUUUAAAUAAGAACUCAAUAUCUAUUAACACUACUUUUAAGUAAAUAAUCAAUUAUAUUUUAUUUAUUAAUAUAAAAAGAAUUAUAUAUGCCUACUAACUCAUAUAUACAAUUGUACUUUAAUUCAAAUGCAAGAAAUAAAUUAUUUAAAACUCAGACCAAAUACAUAAUAAUAUAAUUCUUAUAGAUAGANNNNNNNNNNNNNNNNNNNNNNNNNNNNNNNNNNNNNNNNNNNNNNNNNNNNNNNNNNNNNNNNNNNNNNNNNNNNNNNNNNNNNNNNNNNNNNNNNNNNNNNNNNNNNNNNNNNNNNNNNNNNNNNNNNNNNNNNNNNNNNNNNNNNNNNNNNNNNNNNNNNNNNNNNNNNNNNNNNNNNNNNNNNNNNNNNNNNNNNNNNNNNNNNNNNNNNNNNNNNNNNNNNNNNNNNNNNNNNNNNNNNNNNNNNNAUAUUGUUCCAAUUCAGGUUAUAUUAGUUCGGUUCGGAUAUAUCUGAAGUUAAUUCCAAAAUUUUAAAGCAAAACAUAAGAAAUAAACUUAUUUAUAUAGAAUUGGAUAUUUAAGGUACUUAUUGAAAAUUUAAAUACUUAUUUUUUGAUAUAAUUUCAUAAUAAAUAUAGAACUGAAUAUUUUAAGUAUAUAAUUAUGUUUCAAGUAUUUAUAUUUGUGAUUAAUUUGGACUUUCAUAUCGUUUUUUGGAUUUUUUAUGGUUUUUUUUUGUUUUUUUUUUGUUUUUUCGGGUUGCCUGUUCGGGUUCGGCUAAUAACACUUCGGGUUCAGAUAUAUGAUGUACCAUCCCACAAGACCAAUUCUGGGAUUUCUUACAUUUCGUAUUGGGUAUGGAUCGGGUUUUUUGGUUUAAGUUCGGUACGGACUUUGGGUUACGAAUAUUAUGCUUAGACCUAUUUUCAAUAAAGAAAAAUACGAUUAUAUAAAGUCUUUACCAAAAUAUUAUCCCGCGCUUUAGCGCGGAUCAAAAUCUAGUUUUAAUUAAUCUGUGGUUUCCAUUAUUUUCCUUCGAAAAUGUUUUAUUUAGAAAAUAAAACUCCUCCUCUCUCAGCUUUGCUUUAUGUCGAUUCAGUCCCACAGGUUUGGUUUACUAGACCGGUUGGAAUUUCUAGUUAGUUUUUAGUUGAUGUUGUCAAAAAAAAAAAAAAAAUCCUCCUCACUCAAGUUUCCAUCUUUUUUCUCUGAAUUUUAUUAAGGGACAGAAGCCCAAACGGACUAAAGCCCAACAACAGAAAAAAACAAAAGGUCUAAACAACAUGCCAAACUUUACAGAAACGAUUUUGGACCACCAGCCCAAAAAGGAAAACCCAUCGAGGAAGCAAGUCGUCUCUAUCCACCACGUGACCGAUUGCCCUGCAAUCUGAAUCCACUCGUCAAAAUAGGAGAUGACUUUUUUCCACCGGUGCCAAACUGGAAAUGCGACGGAACUCCGCCGACAGCAGAGGCUAACCGAAGAAGAAACCCGGUCAAGCCAAGCAAUCUUCAAAUCGAUCAAGCCGCUCACCGGAUCUACGCUUCUAAAGACAAUCUUCAUUGAUCCAUCUUACAACCUUCGAUCUUCUUGCAUAAAAAUCAGUCAUCUUUAUAGAUGUGAAAUAGCCCGAAGUUGAAAAAACCUUUAAGGGAAAGGAGGAAAAAAACAUCAAAGGUGAGGAAGAAGAGAGGAGGUGAGGCAACAGGAAACGUCAAUCGACUAAUCGAGAAAGUCUCGGUGAUAAGCUGCAGUCGCUUUCAAAGGAGCACGACGCGGAGGCAAAAGCCGAACAUCCCCGUCGAAGAGAGCGCGAACCGCCAGAGUCAGAAGCCGGCUAUACCCGUUGAGUAAACCGCAGUAUACCUGAGACAAAAGUCACCGAAAAAAAACGGCGACAUGAACAAGCUUCAUCUCAUCUUCUUCUUCAUGAAAGAUAUUGGAUUCAGAACCAAGAAGAGAGAGAGAAGCUUUAUCUAUUCCAUACCCCUAGACCAUGAUUAACCCCAGUCUCUUAACUGGAGUUAUUAGCUUCGGUUAAGAGACGGUUUUUAGUUUUUUUUAGAUUUUAACUAAGGAAAGUUAAGAACUAUCACUUAAAUAAGAUAUAUAACAACCGUCUCUUACCCGAAAAGUGUAAAAAUAAAUAAAAAAAUAAAAAAAAAUGUCAAAUCACGAGUUAAGAAUCCCGACUAAGAGAUCGGGGUUAAUCAUGCUCUUAAUCUCUUGUUCCGUACUCAAGUUUCCAUUUUAUCAUGCCUUGUUCAUUUGAUGAUGCUUUUGAUAAAUUUUUUAUUAUAUGUUUUUUUUUUUUGUAACUGAUUUUUUAUUAUAUGUUCUAUAUGGGCAUCAUAGUAAAGAGUUUCUGACCGAAUUGUUUCUGUAGUAAAGGCAAAUUCUGGUCGUAAAAAUUCAUAUUUCAAGAGUUUUCUUGGAGAAGAGGACUUAUUUCCAACAUAUUCUACACCUCUUUUCAUAUCUCAGGUUCCAAAAAAUUAAAAUUAAAACAAAAUUUCUAAAAUUGGUUAAAAGUCACAUAUACAAGAUAACAAUUUAAUAUGCCUCCAAGCUAGAUAUUUAUAUCAGAAACACAUUUAUGCAAUCCGAUUUCUUUCUUUUUUUGUUGAAAAAAAUCCUAUCUAUUGUCAUUAUAGUAUUUUAUAAGAAAAUACUAUUGCUGUAUAUUUUACAGAUUCUAUUUAAAAUUAAAAAGAUAAAUAUCUCCUCAAACUUUCUUUCCUCUUUGAAGGGGCAAAGUUGCCACUUGCAACAUUCGAUACAAUUCUGAAUUUCUGAUCCCUGAACUAAUUUUUGCAUGUUCUCUUCUGGCGUAAGUAUUAAAUUUAGAAUGUAGAAGAAUCAUAACGUAAUUUUAUCUGAAUAUAUAUGUAUGAAGCAUCUUGUUUUCUUAUCCGGGCCAAUGUAAAUUUAUAUAUCCUUGUUUUCGAGUGAAUGUGUCGGCUUCCGUUACUUAGAUGAAAGGGUUUUCACUUUUCAUUUUCCCGAUAAGGAAGAAGAAUAUACAGCCAAAUUAAUCAAAAUAAAGGAAAUUAGCUAUUUUGGAAGGACAAGUUGCAUUCUCUGUUAGUCCUACACGCAAUGCAUGCAAGUAUUGUCUUCCAACUUUCAAUACUAAUAUUCGUUAAUCAAAUGUGUUUAAGAUACUAAUUAACCGUAAAUAUUUACUAGUUUGAAUAAAUUUAUAAAAAUUGCAUGUCCGUUCUGGUUAUAUAUUGCUCUGUUUGAACUAUAUCAGUUCUUUUUAAAGUGGUUUUCUGAUUUAAGUCCAAAACAGUUAACCGGAUUCGAAUUAUACCCAUUAAUAUUAUUGCUAUACAAUACGUUUAAUCAGAGAAAAAUGACACUGUUGCAUUAUCUUUAAAAUUCAAUGACUGUAUAUAAACCCCUCGAGAUUGACACAGAAACACACAAAUACCUCUAAAAAGGUAACAUGUAAUAUCAUUACUUAUACUACAAAAAAAAAGAUGGAGGACAAAGGGAAAAACAUCGAACAAGCUCAACAAAGUUGUUACCUAGGGUGGAUGAGUUUACAAUCCCAACGCGUCCUUGACCUUAAACAAGCCUUAGCUCAACGACGAUCUCACGAAGGCACAGCCGACGCUGCCACGGAUGAGAAGAAACUCCGUGAAUUAACACAAAAGAUCAUUGGAGACUUCAAAGAUUACGCCCGAAAAAGAGCCGAUCUCUCACACCGAUGUAGCUCGAACUAUUAUGCGCCGUCGUGGAACACUCCUUUGGAGAACGCUCUGAUUUGGAUGGGUGGCUGCAGACCAUCUUCUUUCUUUAGGCUUGUUUAUGCUCUGUGUGGGUCCCAAACUGAGAUCCGUGUGACUCAGUUUCUCCGCAACGUCGAUGGUUACGAUACUUCAGGUAAUUUAAGGGUUUGGACAUUAUCAGUUAUUUGGGAUUUUACUUCUUUUCACUUCUUAGUUUGGUCAGCUCCGGUUCCAAACAUCCGAAUAAAACAUUCUUCUUUGUUCCAAAAUUUAAAGUUAUUAUACAUACAUUUUAUUGCUUUUAAAUUGUCAAUAUUUUAUCAAAAUUAAUUUAAAAAUGUUUAUGGUCUUUUAGAUCUGGCCGGUCCUGGAUUUAGUUUGGUUUCAGUUUAAAAUUUUGUUUUUUUGGUUUAAGAAUUUUUAGGUCUGAGUUUAGUUCAAUUCGGUUUGAUUCAACAGGUAGUGGUGGCGCAUCACUCAGCGAUCUAACGGCGGAGCAGCUGGCGAAGAUCAACGUCUUGCAUGUGAAGAUCAUAGACGAAGAAGAGAAGAUGACCAAGAAAGUCUCCAGUCUGCAAGAAGACGCCGCUGAUAUUCCUAUCUCCACCGUGGCUUACGCGGAGGAGCACGUAGGAGAGCCUAACUUGGCAGUAGAUCAAGCUCUCGACAAGCAAGAAGAAGCUAUGGCCACUUUAUUGGCCGAGGCCGAUAAUCUGAGGGUAUAUACGUUGAGUAAAAUCAUAGAGGUUCUGGCGCCGAUGCAAGCCGCGGAUUUUUUGCUAGCCGGGAUAAAACUUCAUCUUUCAAUGCAUUCUUGGGGAGCGCUAAGGGAUCGCCGCCGUCGUGAAUGUAUAAUAGAGGCCGCAGAUGAUGCCGGAGGGAAGGAAGGGAAGUAGUCGUUAUAAAAGUAGAGGUGAUAUAUACUAUAGGUACGUGUCAGCUAUGAAAUUGCAUAAUAACGAGAUUUAUAAUCUUGGUAUUAUAGCUUUAUGAUAUAGUUUAGGGAUAUAUAUGUCCUUAUAUAUGUCAAUUUUAUUUUCCGAGGACCAGUGUGUAAUGCGUUUCGAUUUAUUUUAUAAAUACAAAUAUAUUUUAUAGUUUAUGAUUUUGUUAUAACAUAGAUGUAUCUUGUUAGAUGAUUUUUUUUGUAACAGAUCUUGUUAGAUGAUUAUACUUAUAAAUAUAUUAUUAUCUAUAUAUAUAUAUAAACAUUGCUUUGUUACUAAACUGUUAUAGUUUUUUAAGAAUAAAUCAUAAGUACAUUUUGAUGGUUUAGAGUACUUUAAUAACUGGAAUCUUUGUUGAUAAAAAGAAAAUGGAAUCUUUUUUUUCUUUAUCGAGUCUAUCCACGCGGCUUUUUGCUCUUCAGAAAGACAGUAUGCUACUGGAUGCAUGUACAACUGUGAGUAAUGGGGGCACAGCGACGACAAAUAGUUAGAGAAAUGAUUUUGGUGUGUUUACGUGUCAGUAAACAUGCUCUUUCUCGACAAGUCAGCUUAGAGAUUUUGAUCCAAUACUCCAUUGGCUUUUUGUGUGUUAGGGAACAGGCAAAAGGAAAAUUGUUGGAGUAUCCAGUGUGACAUAAAUACACGUUGGGAAAAAUAGUGGAUAAUAUUUUUUUUGAGAGGUUAAAGAUGAAAUGUAGACAAUUUAUAUUUGUGAUAGUUUUUGUAUUUGGAAAAGAGAUUUUCUACUAAGGCUUGUGUUUGGAGAUUGUUUUAGAAAUUUUGUUAGAACUUUUUCUUGAAUGUUUUCUCUCAAUUACUUUUCUUGAUUCUUGGAUGAUACAAAUGGUGCUAAACACCCAUAUUUAUACAAAUGAAGGAGCAAACUCUAACAUGUUUUAGAUUUCUCUAAAUUAUUAUCUUAUUUCAAAAUAUCUAACAUAAUUAUUCUACUACAUAACUUUCUCUCUUCUCCUCCAUAAUUCUAGAUAAUUCUUCCUCCUUGUGUUUUUCUUUUGGACUCUUAAUAUGGAUCAUGAUUUUUGGGUUUUGGGCUAAUAGAUGAAAAAACCAACAAAUCUCCCCUUUUUCAACUUAGCCCGAAACCGUUGUCAUGUCAGUGCUUUUGCAGCAAUCUUCAAACUUCUUGAUCGGUAAUACCUUGGUCAUAAAGUCUGACCAAUUUUCGUCGGUGUGUACCUUUGUGAGAUGUAUGAGCUUCUCUUCCAGAACUUUUCGGAUCCAGUGAUGUCGGAUAUCGAUGUGCUUUGAGCGAGAGUGAAACGUUUGAUUCUUUGCUAAGUGAAUAGCAUUUUGGUUGUCACAUAGCAUGUUGUACUUUUCUUUCUUUACUCCCAACUCAAGCAAGAAGUUCUUCAUCCAUAGCAUCUCCUUACACGCUUUCGUUGCUUCGAUGUACUCCUCUUCCGUGAUGGAUAAAGCAACACACUUUUGUAGCUUCGAUUGCCAAGAAACAGCUCCCCCUGCAAAGGUAGUCACGAAUCCUGAUGUCGAUUUCCUUGAAUCUUUAUCACCAGCCCAAUCUGCAUCGGUGUAACCGUUCAACUCCAAUUUUCCAUUUCCAAAACAUAGACACUUCUUCGUUGUGCCUCGUAGAUAGCGUAAGAUCCACUUAACUGCUUUCCAAUGUUCUUUUCCUGGAUUGGCGAGAAAGCGACUCACAACUUCUACGGCAUACGCAAUGUCGGGUCUGGUGCACACCAUAGCAUACAUGAGACUACCCACUUCUGAUGCAUAUGGGGUAGUCUUCAUUUCCUCUUUUUCCUUCUUACUUGUUGGACUUUGCUUCGAACUUAGUUUGAAAUGUCCACCAAGUGGAGUGCUCACCUGCUUUGCUUUGUGCAUGUUGAAUCUCUCCAACACCCUUUCAACAUAUCGUUCUUGGGACAGCCAUAAAAGCUUCUUUGGUCUAUCCCGAGUGAUCUUCAUUCCAAGAAUCUGUCUCGCUUGCCCCAGAUCUUUCAUCGCAAAACACCUUCCCAAAUAUUUCUUCAAUGCGGCUAUCUUGUUGCGAUCUUGGCCCACAAUUAACAUAUCGUCAACAUAGAGCAAUAAUAUGAGAAAGUCGCCGCUUUCGUACCUCUUUAUGAAAACGCAAUGAUCAUUCUUAGUUUUCUUGAAGUUAUGAUCCACCAUGAAGGAGUCAAACUUCUUGUACCAUUGUCUUGGGGCUUGCUUGAGGCCAUAAAGACUCUUCUUUAAUCGGCACACCAAUUCUUCUUUUCCUGAAACCUUGAAUCGUUCAGGUUUCUCCAUAUAGAUCUCCUCCUCGAGUUCACCAUGUAGAAAGGCCGUCUUGACAUUGAGUUGUUCAAUCUCCAAGUCUAGAACCGCUGCUAGACCAAGAACCACUCGGAUAGAGGACAUCUUCACGACUGGAGAGAAUAUUUCUUCAAAAUCUAUGUCUUUUUUCUGGUUGAAUCCUUUCACAACCAAUCGAGCUUUCUAUCUUGGAUUUGAGCUUCUCUCUUCAUACUUCAACCUGUACACCCACUUGUUCUUCAAGGCUCUCUUUUCUUUUAGUAGCUUCAUCAGCUCAUAAGUGUGAUUAUCCUGCAAGGAUUACAUUUCAUCUUGCAUAGCUUCAACCCACUCAUCUCUAUGAGUGUCUCCUAUGGCCUCCUCAUAGCUUUUAGGUUCCCCCUCAUCUGUAAGAUUAACGUACUCAUCUCGAUAAUAUCUUACAGAUGAUCUUGUCUCUCUUCCAGACCUUCUUAGCUCAUGUUCUUCCUCUGGCUCCACUUGAACUUCUUCUUCACCUUCAUCACCAUUCGGAUCCAUGAUAGGAUCCCCUUUGCCAUCAUCUCCAAUCACUUGUUCAUGAUCUUGAGGCUUAUGAGAAUCUUCAUUUCUUACAACCCUUAGCUUUGGUUUCUUUGAUUUUGUUGAUGUCUUCUAUUGUUUGAUCUUCGAAGAAAACAACAUUUCUGCUCCGGAUAAUUUUUCUGUUAACCGGAUCCCAAAGCCGAUAGCCGAAAUCAUCUCUCGGUGACCCAAGAUAGAUGCACUCUUUAGUCUUGGAGUCUAGCUUGGCUCGUUCAUCCUUAGGUAUAUGGACAAACGCUCUGCAACCGAACACCUUCAAAUGGUUGUAAGAGACCUUCUUACCCGACCAAACUUCCUCCGGGACAUCGCCUUCCAAAGGAACUGAUGGUGUAAGAUUUAUGACGUCCACUGCAGUCUUUAUGGCUUCUCCCCAAAAUGGCUUGGGUAGUUUAGCGUGAGAGAGCAUGCACCGAACUCUUUCUAUGAUCGUUCGAUUCAUUCUUUCUGCUAGCCCGUUCAAUUGUUGCGUCUUUGGUGGUGUCUUCUCCAUUCUGAUUCCAUGAGCUUUGCAAAACGCUUCAAAGGGACCUCGAUACUCUCCACCAUUGUCAGAUCGAACACACUUGAGUUUUUGACCCGUACUUCACUCUGCUUGGGCUACAAAUUCCUUGAAAGCAUCAAGAACUUGAUUUUUGACUUCAAAAGGUAUACAUAUACCUUCCUUGAAUGGUCAUCAAUAAAGGUGAUGAAAUAUGAUGCCCCUCCAUUGGAUUUCUCGGACAUGGGGCAUACGUCAGUAUGCACAAGAUCAAGAAUAUGCUUUCUUCUCAUAGGCGUAGAUGAUAUUCGGAAAGCGACCCUAUGUUAUUUUCCGGCUAAGCAAUCAUGACAUGAUGAGAGAGAAAUACCUUUCAUAUCAGGAAGAAGUUUCUUGCGAGAAAAUAUAUUUAAACCUUUCUCACUCAUAUGCCCGAGUCUUCGGUGCCAUAUAUCGAUGUCAUCACUUGUGACAUUUACUUCUUCCUUGCAAAGCUUGGCUUGAGUCACGUAUAAUGAGCCUUCUUUUCUUUCUCGAGCCAUGAUCAAACUUCCUUUGGUUAACUUCCAUUUGCCACCACCAAAAUGACUGUCCAAGCCGGCAUCAUCGAGCUUUCCGGUUGAUAUGAGAUUGAGACGCAUGUCGGGAACAUGUCUCACAUCCUUGAGAACUAUCUUACAUCCAGUGUUUGAUGUAAGAAUAACAUCCCCCUUUCCAACAAUCUUGCUUCUUCCUUGAUUUCCCAUUUGAACAUUACCAAAGUCACCAUUUUGGUAGGUUGUGAAAAAGCUUCCAUGAGGGGUGACAUGAAAAGACGCACCAGAAUCAACUAUCCAUGAGCUAUCAUCAGAGCUAAGAUUACUUUCUCCAACGAGGUAUAACUCUUCGCUCUGGUCUUCCACAAUGGUGGUAGUCUUGUCUUCAUGCUUCUUUGUAGGAUUGAGCCGGUCUGGUUUGAUAUUACCGGCUUGUUUGUCUUUCUUGAAAAACCAACAUUCCGACUUCAUGUGACCCGGCUUGCCACAGUAAUAGCAGGUGACUCUCGGACGUGACUUAGAUCUUCUUCGAGAUUGGUCUCGUCCUCUGCUUAUGUUGUGACCACGAGUCUCUUCUCUACCUCAUCUAUCAACAAUGUUAGCUUCUGAAUAAGAAUUCGAACCUCGCUCCUUCCUGCGAACUUCUUCGUUUAGAAGGCUAUCAGUGACGGUGUCCAUGGUGAGCUUUCCCUCCGGUCCUGAAUUGCUUAGAGUGACAACUAGUGUGUCCCAACUCUCCGGUAGUGAACUAAGGAGUAAAAGGGCUUGUAUUUCGUAUUCAACCAUCAUAUCAACUUUGUUAAGCUGAUUUACGAUCCCCUUGAAAGUGUUCAAGUACUCCAUCAUGCUCUGGCCAUCCUUGUACUCCAACUUUACCAACCGUCGAAUAAGAAGAGCUUUGUUUCGAGGUGUUUUCUU
This 66627-nucleotide long non-coding RNA is filed under the name Brassica napus (rape). RNAcentral's name for it is "long non-coding RNA (BNAP_LNC021408)". The record is from RNAcentral. Lineage: Eukaryota; Viridiplantae; Streptophyta; Magnoliopsida; Brassicales; Brassicaceae.